AGAAUGUCCAUGACGCUUGCUCUGCGGAAAUUGGAGCAAUUUUCCGAGCGACAAAUCUGUUGUUGCAAAGGUAUUCGGGAGAAACUUUUCAUAUCUACUCAGAUUCAGCACCCAUCAUCAAAGCCUUGCACCUUAGGAGCUAUCAUUCAGUUUCGUUAACAGAUGAAGCUCGAACAAGAAUCUCGGAUCUCCGAACUUUUCUUGAAAGUUCCAAGCUAUUUAGUUAUGGAUGGUCGUCUAGAUAUUCUAAAAAUGCUGUAGUUGCAGAUCGAUUGGCCAACUGGGGGCUUACUAGCAAAAAACUCUCUUUUUGGUCCUCUGUAGAUGAAUUCUACCAAGUUGUACCUCCCGAUUGAUAAAUAAAUUCGCCUAAGGGCGUGUUUUCCCUCAAAAAAAAAAAAAAGAAAAAGUUUGUAUUAAUUAAUUCUUUGAACAAUUAAAUUCAUUACAUAGAAUUCUAUUUGAACCAAUCCAAAAUCUUACGUAAGAAUCGCUUUUCCACGGUUCCACUUUUAUUUGUUUCUGAACGUGGAAGGAGCCCAACAUUCGCACGCUUUGUAGCGUGCAAGUGAAGUGCAACCACAGAAACUGGGACUAUUCAUAUAUAGGAUGAUUGAGGCCUCUCAUAAUUAGUUCCAUUAACUAAGUAUUGGACCCACAUCAACUCCACUACUUUUAUUUCAUCUUCUAAAUAAGAUCUCAAAGCUUCUAACUCAUCAGAAACCAAUAAGGAAAUAAUUUAUUGCGCGCAGUUACUAUUGUAUUGCAGUUUUAACUUUACACAAAUUUGAAUAUGUUAUUUGGAUUCGUGCAUUUGUAAUUCCAACUGCAACGGUAGGUGAAGACGAAUCACUUCGAUCAAUAAAUAAUAAUAAUAAUAAUAAUAAUAAUAAUUCUCCACACUACCAAAUAAAUUAAUUAUAAUUAUAACCGUUAUAGACCCACAAAACUUAAUAAAAUAAUCAACUAAUAUAUUUUCAAUGCUAUUCAUUUUUUACUAAACUAUGCCUAUAAUUAUUAUAUGGAUAAAUUACAAUUCUGGUCCUCAAAUUAUCGGGCUGGUAAUAUUUUUGUUCUUAAAUUUUCAUUCAUUUUAAUUUUUGACUCGAAUUUUUUAAAUUAUUGCUGUACAAAUCACAACCCAAUUUAUUUUACUAAAUGUUGACAAUACAGUUAUAAUUAAGAUGAUAUACAGUUUAUAUAUACUAGUGGCUCGUCAGAAUUUAACCAACUAAUAGUUUAUAAGACUUAAUUGAUCAUAAUAGUUUAUAAAAUUGAAAAAAAAAAUUAUAAUAAAUUAAAAUUUAAGAACUAAAAGUGCUAUACACGCGCAUGGUGUGUAAUGCUUUGAGGAAAUUUCUUUUUUCGGGUUUCAAUCAAUUGCUCUAACCCACUAGCCAAGUCAAGUAAACAUACUUAUCUCUUGUAAAAAAAGACAAAUUUUAUAGCUAUCAUUGUCAAAGUAAGUACAUAUAUAGAAUUCCUACACUAGGAAAUAUUCACCAACCAAUGAGAUUGGUCACAAAAGGUACCUUACUUAGGAAAAUUAAACCCUCAUCAACCAAUGAUACAGUUUUUCGGUGCCUAAUUACCACAAAUUAAUUAAAAAAAAACAUAUUCUAUAAAUAUAUAGUGCAUAGGAUAUUCUAGAUCGAUCAUGCGUUACGUGUCCGAUUCAAAUAUCCUAAAUCAUCCAGUUUCGAAAUCGAUGUUGUCAAAAUAAGAUUUUAUACUAUCGGUGCAAAUAUAUCUUAUUUACUCAUGAUUUAAAUUUUUAUUCUAACAAUAAUAAAAAUUAACUUAUUUUGAUCAUACCGCGACUGUCCCUAGAGCAAGUGACAAAGGACUUGGUGGUUGGUACCCGAGACCCAAGUUCGAAUUCUAGUUGAUUCACAUUUCCAGCUAAGUUUAUGUCUAAAUAAAAUAAACGAAGCGGGUAGCGUGCUACCUAUCUCUCAAAAAAAAAAAAAACUUAUUUUGAUCAUAUCUAUUCAUAUAUUUUGUGGCCUAAUAAGGAUUAGAUCACUAAAAUUUUAGAGAUCACAAUAGAAAUUUAAUAUGGUAUUACUUUUUAAUUGCUAGAUACUAGUACUAGUUAAAGUUACAGCAUUAAGAUUCAAAGAAUAUGAAUUCAAAAAGAGAGCUCUUAACUUUUCAUAUGUACUUUUUUUAAAAAAAUUCGUUUAUGCUUUUAAUUAGCACUUAAUUUUGUGAGCAAGUGUGCUAGGACAAGCCUACAAAAUUAAGAGUCUACUAUAAAUCAAAAUUGUUUAUUGAUUUUUACAUAACCUGCAUAGUUCGGUUGAACAACCCAUUAUCUUAAAAAAAAAUUAAAAUAUUAGAGACAAAUAAAUAUUUCACACGAUUAAUUCCCAGUUUGAAUCCAAUCAGGCUACAGGUUUUAUUAAUUUCUCCUAUUCAAUUCAAGUCUACGUCUUGGGUAAACGCUAAUAUUUCAAACCCAAAUAUGACAAAAAGUAUUGAAUAUAAAAAUAUUAAAAAAUAAUUAUUUAAAACUUAAGGUUUUAAUUAAAAACGAUUGUUUUACUUUUUUUUUUUUUUGGUUGGUUGGUGUUUCUCCAUGUAAUUGUGUGCCAAAAUUUUGGAGCUAAGUUAUAUACGUAAUCCACUUGGCACAUGUAACACGACAAAGUAACAAACGUACAUCAUUUUAAUAUUAUGGCCAAUGGCCAAUGGGUUAGCUUACAAGCUAUGAACCUUCCAACACGGAUUGAGAAAAUAAUUGGUGGGGGGACUUGGAAGUUGAUCUGGUCAACGAUGUAGAUAAUGAUUAAUUAGGUGGAUAAGCAUGUGAUUUAGCAUGGGAUUAAUUAAGGAUCUAUUUAAAUGUAUGAAUAUUUUAUUCAUCACUUCCUUUUCAUUUAUUCCAAAGAAGCACACGAUUAAAUGUAUAAAACAGCAUAUUAUAUACGACCUCUAAGUCAUUUUGUGAUAAAAGAAAAUAAAACACCUUUGUAAAAGCUAAAGUAAAGCUUAUUUAUUAACUUGCAACCAUAAAAAUUAUUAUUAGAUAACUUGUUCUGAUAUUUAAAUAAGUAAAAGCUUCGAAAAUACCUAAAAAUUAAGGAGCACAUCAUUAUCUUUUAUUGGAUCUUUUUUAAAUCUGUCGUCUAACAUGAUGCUGAGAUAAGAAAAAAAAAAUUUUAUAUCAAAAUAAAUUUAAGAUUCAAACUUGUUUUUAAUCACACAACUCAUCAAACUGUCCCAACGGGGAUUUUAUUGAAGAGCUUCUCAACAAAGUUAGGCCCUGCGACUUAAGCGUGGCUUUGAUUAACUACCGCGUGUUUGUUUACGCUUAGAUAUAUAUACACAUUCAAGUAAUGAAAGCUAAGCAAUAGGAAGUUGGUAUAACCUCCAUCAACUCUCUUCCUUCGGAAAAAAGCUUCAACCUAGCUCUAUUCCUUUUUGUUCUUCUUUCUCACUCAGUCCUCAUGGAUCAACAAGAUGGCGAUUACAGCGGCGAUUUUAUGGUCCUAAGACCGGAUAAAGGAGGGAUGUUGGAUCUCUUCUAUCUCUUAUUUUCGAGCGAUCUUACGAAGAAUAACGCCGUCGACUGCCCGAUCGGCACCGAGAUAGACAAAGUAGGAAGAAGAUGGGCGAUCUUCAUCUCCCUCCUCUUGCAGAAGAUUCUCCUAAAGUUGAAGAAACCAAUGGCUCUCGUUGGUUCUGCGCUCGAGCAGUGGAUGAAUCUUCUCUAUGAGAAUGGUAGUUACUGGAAUCUCUUCAGUAAUAUCGUGAAAGGUGCGUAACCUCUAUGAUCGAAAAAAUAAUAUUAAUGUCAAAACAAUUUAUGUUAUUGCCAGAGCAAAAGUUUAUAUCAUGAUCAGAUACAGAAUAUUUACUUUCGCAAUAUCAAAACUAGCUUUGACAUCAAUACCUGUUCCCAACCUUUAUUUGCUAUAUUGUGAUUAAUUAUUGACAUAUAAUAUAGAAGACGUAAUUUUUUCAAAAAGAUAAAAAAAAAAACAAGAAGCAAGAAUGAAAUGAAAAAUCAGUACAAGAUCUUUAAUUAAGCUUUAACAAACUAAUUACAAUGGUUUUGAGAUAUAUUGACGAAUUGGCACUUUUUUAAAAAAAAUUUUUCAAGUUCUUAUCAGUUUGUUAACUUCGUAUUUAAUUAAUUUCAUCUUAUUCUUUGAACGGAAAAUUUUUUUCCAGGAACACUAAAGGAUUGUUGUAGAGAUAAAAUUCAAUUUUGUUUGUUGAAAUAUGCAACAAUUUAAUUAGUUAAAUUUGUAUGUAAAAAUUCAAUUAUGUGACUCUGUUUGUUGGACUUAUUAAAAAAAUUUCGCCUUAGCGAAUUCAAAAUAUAUGAAACUAAUACUACUAACAACUUAAUUAAUUAGAUUUUUAGAUAUAAACGGCUGUUUCGUAUGCCAUAAAAGUUGUUCGUAAAUUAAAUUUCUUUUGUUUAAUUCAAAUACACAUAUAAAAUGUUAAAAUACAGUUUUCUGUUGAAUAAUUAAUUCCAACAUAACAAGUUGAGCCCUACUUUUUAAUGCAAUUUAAAAAUAUCUACCAAUAAUGUAAUAAUAAUAUGCAAUAAGGUUAUGCUAACGAUACUAUGUGAGUUUCCUAGCAAUGUAGUUUUCUUAAUUACACCUAACACGCCAACUAAACUAAAUUAUUACCCACGAGGAAGUAAUUAAUAGUAAACUAACAAGAUUGCUUCUCACGUUUCAAGACUUAAAAAAUCCAUAAAAUUUCGUACCUACCGAAUAUAAAUAAUUUAAAAUACUAUUUUAAAAAAAUUUAAGUCUCUAAAAAAUGAGUAUUAUUUAAUAUGUUAUCAAAACAGGAGGUUCUGAAUCUAAAUCUCACUUGUAUUAAUUUCUUUUCUUAGGAAAAAUGAGGAUGCCGGACAAAACGAAGUCGACAUAUAGAUCGGCGAUUGGACUCAUCGACACGCGAGUCGACUUGGAUAAGAAGAUCAAAACUAGUGAUAGCAGAUACAAUGCUGCAUUGUCUAUCAUGGCUGCAAAGCUAGCUUAUGAGAAUGAAGCAUCCAUUGAGACCAUUGUUACACACCAUUGGAAGGUUUGGAUUUAACACUAAAUUCAUUAAUUAUGUGAGUGAAAAUUAAGUUUUAUGUUGAGAUUGACAACUUAUUGUUUAAAUGCAGAUGAAGUUCUUGGGGAGUUAUAGUUUCUGGAACGGUAAGAUAAGCUCAGAGCAUUACUAUAAUAUUGUUGCAUUGUUUCUGAACGAUGGGGCAUCUAAAUUUAUGAAUGACACUGUUAAAUUAGUACGAUCUAAUUUAUUUGAAUUUCAUAGGAAUUAAAAAUUUAUAAUUUUACAACAUCAUUUACCUGACCAAAUGAUCCUUAAUUUAUCUUCAAGUUAACAAUUAAAAAUUGAUAACUUUUGAUCUACUUUAAUAGUACUAGAUAGGAAAUAUAGAAAAUUUAUGAAAUUUGAUUAUUAAAAAGUUUAAAUACGCUAGAUAAUGUUAGAUAUCACUGAUCAUCGAUCCAAAUGCUGCGUUAUGAGAAAUGACGUAAAAAUAAACGAUUUUAUUUACUUCCAGAAGUAUACUAGCUUUUGAUUUUUUAGUACAAAGGUGGUCAUUAAUUGGGAAUGGGCUAAGCACUAUUAAUUGGGAGCUCGGCCCAAGUACUAUUUUGGCUUUGGUUUUCUUAUCCAAUUUACUCUCACUUUGUACAACCAAAAUUGUUCUAUUAACAAAAAUGUUCUACUAUUUAUUUUUCGCAACAAUAAAAGGAUUAACAUGCACAAUACUAACUCAUUUUGCACACUACGUAGUACGUACCCAACCUCUUCCUCAAUCAUCGUUUCUCAAUUGCUACAUUGCAGAGUACCAAGGGGACUACUCCACCCAAGCCUUCAUGUUCUGCGACAAACCGACGGACGCCGAGCUCAUCGUAGUGGCAUUCCAGGGCACCGAGCCAUUCGACGCGAUGCAGUGGCGCACCGACAUCGACUUCUCGUGGUACGAGAUCCCAAACGUGGGCAGAGUCCACUUAGGCUUCAUGAAGGCACUAGGCCUACAAAAAACCAGUGUCGGAUGGCCGAAAGAUAUCCAAACAUCAGCGAAGCCGCUCGCUUACUACACCAUUCGCGAGAAACUUCGCGGUGCUUUGGUGGAGAAUAAGAAUGCGAGGGUUCUGAUAACCGGACAUAGCCUGGGAGGCGCGCUGGCGAUUCUGUUUCCUGCUGUGUUGGCGUUGCACGAAGAGCAUAACAUGUUGGAGAGGUUGGAGGGAGUGUACACGUUCGGGCAACCCAGGGUUGGAGAUAAGAGGCUUGGAGAGUUUGUGGAGGGGUUCUUGGAUAAGCCUAAGAGGAGGUACUUCAGGUUUGUUUACUGCAAUGAUGUGGUACCUAGAGUGCCCUUUGAUGACUCUGUUCUCUCGUUCAAGCACUUUGGCAAGUGCCUUUACUAUGACAGCUUCUACAGAGGAAAGGUGAGUCUCCUCUCCCUCACAUUCAUGUCUAAUUUGCUUAAAAGUGUUGGUAUUUGCAAAUCUUGCUUCGACAUUAAAAGAUCAGAUCAGGGUUUUUUUUUUUUUUCCUCCAAAAAGAAAAAUACUCAAACUUACUGGGCAAAUUAAUAAGUACGUAGGCAGAACACUGCAGAUUAGAAGAAAGUGUCAAAAAACAAAAAGCAAAAAAAGAAAACUAGUAAAAACUCUUAAAGUUGUAGGUAAUAACUAUUAUUUAGUGCUUUAAGAGCAAAAGAAUCAAUUCAUAGAGUAUUUACUCUGUUCCUAUUAAAAUUAUACAAUUGUUAAAUGUUCCCAUAUCAAUUCUCUUGGCGUAAUAUUGAAACAACAGCUUCUCUCUGAUAUACAUACUUGCGUUCUUUUUGUUCGGCGUAAUUUUGAAACAAUUGAUCUGCUUUAGAGCUUCAAAAGUUUUAUAAACAAAGUACUGGAUCAUUGAGUUUUUAUUGUGAUGAAAAAUUAAAAUGAGUUAUUGGGCUUUUUAAAUUGUACUUACCUAUGUGGCAUAAUUUUUAAAUUAUUUUUCUACUUUGGAAGUUCAAAACUUAGCUUCCUAUUCACUUCGUUCAAUUUUUUAAAAAAAAUUAGUUCGGCUGAAAAUACAUUAAGCAACAAGACUGCGAAACUGAACCUCAGAUACCAACCAUCGAGCUUUUUAGUCAAUUGCAUUAGGUAUAGUCGGUGAAAUCCAAAACUAUCAUAACCAAAUGUUUAAAUGAUAAAAAUUUUGAAACUUUUGCCAAGUUCUUGGGUUUCUUAAGUGGAGAUUCUAAAACAAAUAUGUAAUUUUUUUUUAAAACAAUAAAAUUUUUAGUACUACUCUCUAUAUAUUAAUAACUAAUUAUUAAUUAUUAAUUAUUUUAUAUUGUUGAGGUGCAGGUACUGAGCGAUGAGCCGAACAAGAACUACUUCUCGGUGUGGACGGUGAUCCCGAAGUACAUGAACGCAUGGUGGGAGCUCAUCCGCAGCUUCUUGAUCGGAUACGUGGAGGGCUCUGAUUACGCCGAAGGGCGGCUACUCAGAUUCGCCAGGGCCGUUGGAUUGCUGAUCCCCGGUUUGCCCCCGCACUCCCCACAAGAUUACGUCAACUCCACCCGAUUGGGGACUCCACUCGUGCCAGAGAAUUAAUUAAUGACUCCUCAACUUAAUUGCGUGAUAUUUAUUCACUAAAUUUAUACAGAACUUUAUUUAAAUUAUAGACUAUUUUAAAUUAAUAAUUUAAACUCUUUAAAUUUUAGUUUUUUAAUUUGUUUAAUUUGAGUCUGUCAACGAAAUUUUAUGUGGUCUAUAUUUAUAGAUUUACUUGUUAUAUUUCAUACAAUUUUCGCAACUAUAAAAAAUUUCUUAAAGUUAGUAAUUAGCUCAUGAUUGGUGACUCACUCAACUUAGACAAAUUGAAAGAUUGAAUAGUAAAAUUAAAAUUUUGAAAGUAUGAAUAGUCAUUUCAAAAUGAUCUAUAAUUCAGAUAAGUUCUGUACAUUUUUAUCUAAGUUAAAUGUAUCAGAAUCGUCCGAAUUGACGUCGCCUUCUUUGCAGAGAAGUAUUUAAACCCGGAAAAUCCUUAAUAUUAGCUGCUGGAGUAAAAAAUAAUAAAGAAUGUAUGAUGGUGAUAUAAUUAAAUAAGUUUUCCGGAUAUCAAAAUUAAUUUUGAUAAUAAAAUUUAUCAUAAUAAUAACAUUCAAUUUGUAGAACUCAAAUGCUAGAAAAUUAAUUUUUAUACUGUAAGGUUGAAUUUUGACGUCAGAAAGAAUUUUUCUAUAUUACUGGCAUGCUAUUAUCACUGUUUUAAAAAUCGGAUUGGACAAUAAUUCAAAAAUGUAACUGGUUCGACGUAGGACUGGCAAACGAGCGAGCCGGCUCGCGUUCGGCUCGAUAUUUGGCUCGCUCGAGCUCGACUCGAAAUUAAAUGAGCUGAACUUGAACAAAAUAAAAGGCUCGAAAUUCAUUUCAAGUCGAGCUUGAGUAUUACUCGGCUCGUUCGAAUUAGGCUCGAAAAGCUCGAAAAGUGAGCUGAGCUUGAACAAAAUAAAAGGCUCGAAAUUCAUUUCAAGUCGAACUUGAGUAUUACUCGGCUCGUUCGAAUUAGGCUCGAAAAGCUCGAAAAGCUCGAAUAUAUAUAUAUAUAUAUGAGUCCGGCUACUAUACUUUUAUGAGUAUUGGCUCCCUUAUACUCAUAAGUUUUCGGCUCUUAGAUUUAUUCCAUUGAUCAUUUUUACCCGUUAGAUCAUACUAUUCAACUAAUUACCCACUCAAUCCUAGGGGACCGCUAUCAUUUUAAGUGGGGACCACUAUUACACUAACCACACAUCCCAUCAAUCAACGGUUAAAAAUUUAUGAGUACAAGGGUGUCUAUACUCAUAAAAGUAUAGUAGUCAUAUAUAUAUAUAUAUCAAACAUUUUUAUAUAUUUUUUAAUUUUUGAUAAAUCAAAUUUAAGUANUUCUACAAAUUGUUAUAGUCAAUUUGUUAAAAAAAUAUCUCAAAUAAAAACAAACGAUUAUGAUCAAAUUAUUAAAAAAUAGUAUUCUUAUUCAUCUAUUUUACAUUAAAAUUAAAAUUUAAGUUUAAAUUAUGGAUUCAAUUUAAUUUUUGAUAUCAAAUUUGAAUUAAUAGUUAAUUUUUUUAUUACAGCGGAUCAAAAUUAAAUUUUAAAUUUUAAAGUAAAUGAAAAUUAAAUUUUGAUGCUUUUAGUUUAAGACACAUAUUUAAAUUUGAUUCAUCAAAAAUCAAAAGGUAUAUAAAAAUAUUCGAUAUAUAUUAAAAAAAAUACUGUAGGAUAUUGUUAAUAUUUUUUAAUAAAAUAUAACAUAUUAAUUUAUGAAUAUGAUUUUUAUUAUAAAAUUUUGAAUAUAUAUAAUGAACAAAUUUAUAUUAAUUUAAAAUAAAUUAUAAUAAUUAUUACGUGCAUUUGCACGUACAUUCAACUAGUUAAUAUAAAAGCACAUAACUUUACUUAAAAAAAGUUUAAUUUCAAAAUGUAGUAAAAUACAGUCCAAUAAUAUUGUUUCAAUUUCUGUCACCUGUCCAUGAACAUUCUUCAGAAAAUAAAAGAUAAAUGGGAAAGAUUCUGUCCCCUUUGAUAUAUUUGUUUUACAAAAAUUAAAAAAGAGCGGAGUUGUUUUUGACCGUAAAUCAUUACUUUCGCUGUUUGAUUUGUAAUAAAUUAAAUUUAUUAUUAACUUUACUUUUCAAAAUAUUUUUUUUUGGAUGGUGCCGAAGUCUAUUACUAAAUAAAAAUAAAAAAAUAAAAAAGUAAUAAAAUAAUUAACUGUUGUAAUUCUUUUUCCAUUGUCGGUGUAGAAAUUUUCAACAAAAUAAAUUAAAAAGAAUGAGAUAAUUAAAGUUUCAAAGCCAUCGUUUCCUUAUCUAAAAAACAGUAGGAAAUUAUUUUAUCUUAAAUUUUAAUUAAACUAGGAGUUAUCUUUAAAUUGAAAAUAAAUUUUGACAAAACAAACACGUCAUUUACGUCGUAGGCCUAAUUCGGUGAUAUGACAGCUAAAGACCCCAAAAAUCGAAAAGUGUUUAUAUAAUCUUCUUGUCUCUAAUCGUUUAAAAUAACAGUUGUAGCUCCUUAGAAGUAACAAUGGUGAAUUAAAUUAAUUUUUAUAGAAAAAAAAAUUAGAAAAUUUUUUAAGAGGAUAUUUCUGCAUAAUUUUAAAACUUUUUUAAAAAAACAUAUUUAUAAUGACAAAAUAAAUAUUUUACUUAUUUUUUAUUAAAUAAUAAAUAGUAAAUUACGAGUAAUAAACUAAAAGGACAAAUAUAAACAACACCAAACUUUUAAACAUUUAAAAACUUAAACAUUAUAAAAAAUAUAUCUGCCUUUUUAUUAUAUACUAGUGAAUUACCCGCGCGAUGCUGCGGAUAUAAAAUUAUUUUUAUAAUAAAUUAUAUAUUUUUUAAUAUUUUUAUAUAGUUUUAUAAGUCUAAUUAUUAAUUAAAUAAAAAGUUAUAUAAAAAUAAUUUAAAAUUUUAAAUUAUGAAAAGUUUAAAAUUUGGAAAUAAAUAUUAUAAUUUAAAAUAUAAAAUAUUAAAUUUAAAAUUUAAAACUUUAAAAUUUAAAAAUAUCAAAAUUUUAAAUUUUGUAUUAUAUAUAUGUGUGUGUGUGUGUAGAAGGAGAGAGAAGAGGAGGGUUGGGGGGACACGUGUCACUCUAAGGUCCCCCAAACUCUCCUUUAAUGUAGUUAAAUAAAUUUAAAGCGAGCCGUAUAAAAUUAAUCCAAAUAUGUAAUUUUAAUAAAAAUUAAAAUUAUAUUAUAUAAUAUAAAAAUAAUAUUUUCAACUAGCACGUGAAACAAAUCAGGCCAGAGCCAAUGUGAGCUGCAAAGGGCAUCCAAAGAAAAUGGGAGGGAAUUAUUUUUGAAAAACUUAAAAAAUUGAGUGGGCCCACACAUGCCAUUUUCAAACAAAUGUACGUUACACUGAUUAAUGGGAAUCAAUAAUGCCACUUUUUUGACUUUUAGUGGUGACCCUAGCUACUAGAUUACAGACGUACUAAAAAAAAUCUCUGUACUGCUAAAUUAUUGCCUUGAAACCGUUCUGCCAUUUUGCGGGCUUUUCCCAACCUUCUAUCUUUGUUUUUGUUAUCAUCUGUGUAUCACCGACACUUCUAUCAGUUUUGUAUGUUUAUAUCGAAUACUUGCAUGUUAGUAUCGGACACGUGUCCGAUAUGAACACUUUUUAGAUGCGCGUUUUAUGCCGAUACAUAGCGAUUUCAUAUUUUUAUUUUAUUUUUUUUAUACAUUAUAAAUAUAAGAUGUUAAAUAUUUUAGUUUUUUAGCAAAUUUUUGACGAAUGCAUAUAAAUUUUUUAGAUAAUAUAAAUAAUUUAUAUAUGGUGCAAUAUUUUUUUCUUAAAAUAUAUGAAUUGUCAAUAAAAAUAUUGCUAAAUUUUAUUCCUAUGAGAAAUAUAACAAUAUUUUAUAAAAAUUAAUAUUUUAUAUAUAAUAAAUAUAUAUUAUUAUANGUUUGUAAUAAUGCUAUUUUCAAAAAAAAUUGAAACUACAUUUGAUUAAUUUUAUAGAAUAAUAAGAAAUAGAAAAAAGGAAAGAUAAUGGCCGAAUUUGAUAUAAAUUAUAAUUUAAUAAAAAUAAUUUAUUAUAAUAUUUAAGUAUAAGUUUGUAUAAUAUUUAGGUACUAAUAAUAUGUAUUAAUAUAAUGCAACAAAUAAUGUAUAUAAUAAAAAUAAUUUAUUAUAAUAUGUAAAUUAUCAUCCCUAUAUAAUUUAAUUUACUUCAAUUUAUAAUUUUAAUAAAGAUUGAAAUUAAACAUUGAAAUAAUAUUAUUUUACCUAAAGGGUGGAAUAGUUUAUUCUAAAUUAUUUUGGAAUAAAAGGAAAUAACAAGAUUUGACCGCAAUAAAAUAUUCGACCAAAAAAAAUAAUCCCGUUUGGUGGAACAACGGAGACAACUUUUAUUAUUCGUUGAACCAAAUAGAGCCUUAAUUUUAGAAUUAAUUAUACUAUUGGUUUCUAAUAUGUAUCUAUUUUUUUAUUUAGAUUCCUAACUUUUCUUUUGCCUAUGCACGCAUAUUGCAUUAAUCUCAACUUUGCUAUGAAGCACAUGAUAUUUUUAGAGUCGAAUCAAACCAAGUUAUUUCAAAAACAUAAAGAAGUUUGUGCUGAGAUAGACAAAAAACUAUCAAAUAAUAACCAUAAUCUAUAUAACUAAGUAGGACUUUGUUGGAACUGUCAAGUCUAUUCUGUCAAAAUUAACAAAAAUUUAAAUUGUUGGAAUCUUAGUAAAGAAAGAUUUAGCACCCGUUUGGUUCAGGGUUAAGGGGUAGAAUAACUCUUUAAUCCGAAAGUUAUUUCCAAACACCUAAUUUGGGGGGUGGGGUUAGCUAACCCGAGCCCAUCCCACUACUUUAAUCAAACAAAAUACUAUUUCACCCAAUAUCCUUCUUAUCCUUCCUAGUCCAACCAAACACUAUUUUAUCUAUACCUGAAUUAAACCCAAUUCUCAAUCAAACGUAAAAUUACUCUAAUCCACCUUAACCCUGAAUUUAACCCUAUUCUUGGAAUAACAAAUUUUUACAUAAGCCCAAACCAAACGGUGGCUUAAAGUUAGAGACCUAGUUAGCCAAAAAAAAAAAGAAUUUAACCCUAUUCUUGAAAUAACAAAUUUUUACAUAAGCCCGAACCAAACGGUGGUUUAAAGAUUAGAGACCUAGUUAGCCCAAAAAAAAAAAGAAAAAAAAGUUAGGGACCACAAUAAAAAUCUGAUAAAGGUUAGGGACUACCGUUGCAAUUAACCCUUUCCGAAUCGUCCUCGUUUUCGAUUCAAUUAAUAAAAAACAAAAAAUGGAGAAUUCCGCGCGCCACUUGAACCAUUCAAACUGUGUCCCCACUCCCCCCAGUCUCUCUACCUAGGGUUAGGGUUUAGGAAAUGGAAGAGAACAAGUGGCAAGGACGAGGGCUCUUUUCAUUUCGCUCUACAAUUAUUGAUCCUAUUGAGUUCCUCUUGUCGUUUUUUUUUUUUCCUUUUUUCCCCUGUAAUUUGUAUAUAGAUAUGUGAUAGUAACUGAUUCAUUAACAUAAUAUAGAUAAUAAUGAUCUAAAUAAAGGAAAAAAUUUUAAACAAAUGGAGUAAGAGCUUGUGAAAAGUCAAUAGAUCUGACUUAAAAAUAAAAAAAAAAAGAGCAUCCUAUGCGAAUAAACUACAUGAUAAGAGACCAGAAUCUCUUUAAUUUUUUUUUUUUAAAAAAAAGGAAAUGAGAGACAUAAAUAAGGAAACAGAGAGUGAGAUCUCUUUAUAAAAAAGAGAGUUUAUAUUAAUGGGAUUUUUUUUUCUUUUUUUUUUCAAGUAUAUAAUUAACCGUUCUUGAGUUUCCUGCAACUUUUUGAGACAUUUUGGUACAAUCUUUUUCGUCUUUUUGGCAUAAUGCAUAGUGACCACGGCCCAGAUCCAGAUCUAUUGAAAAAGAGAUCACCUUCACCUUUCCCUUUCACACAACCCCACCCUCCUCCCCUGUUCAGCGUUCACACCACUAUUGAGAUUUGAGAGCGCAGAGGCGGAGGUUUCCGAACAGCCAUAGGCGAAGACGCUCCGAUCCGGCGGUGCUUUCGAUUUCCCGCUUCUUUACUUUUUUUGAAAAAAUUUCGCCGCCGCCGCGAAGGAAUGAGCAAGAGCUCUGCCGCUUCUUCCUGCAGCAGGUCGGGCCCGGGGACCCCGAACUACCUCCCCAAGGGGUGGAGUUCGGAGCGCGGCAAGUACGGCGCGAACACUGCGGUCUUGCUGCCCCUCGGCAACGGCAGGCAGCUGCCGUCGAAAUGGGAGGACGCGGAGCGGUGGAUUCUCAGUCCCGUCUCCGCUGAAAAUGCCGGCAGGCUUUCCGCCCGACCGCCUCACCACCGACGGCCCAAAUCGAAGAGCGGCCCGCUCGGCCACCCCUCGGGGUUCGGCGGCGCGCGCUCGUCGUCGGCUUCGCCGUCGGGCCCUUGCUUCGACACCGUCCUGAUGGAGAACCUCGCGGCCGGCUCUCCUUUCAUGGCCGGGAUUCUAAUGCCGCAGCGCGGCGGUAAUUGCGGCAGGCCCUGUAACGCCGCUGGCGAGUCGUGCGUGGCGCGAUCGGCGAGCGUGCACGGGUGGUUGGAUAUGUUGAUCGAGUCGUCUUCGUCGUUGCCUAGCUCGCAGGACACUGUACAAGGUUCCGAGCUUCUGUUACUCUUCUACUUCUAGUUUGCGAAUUGCGAGGAUACGAUUCUGUUGGUCGGAAUCGUCUGCGUGAAACUUACAGGCAAUUCUGGGAAUCGUCCUGCAAGUUUCUGAUUGAGAGUUUCGAAAACUGAAUACAUUGUCCGGAUAUUCACGCGACAGCUAUUUCUUGUUUUUUGAAGCGACGUUGUCAUUGUUUAUUAUUUCAGAAGUUACUUGCUAGUCGGUAAUAACACAUCCUCUGCGCGGUCGUUAUCGCUUAAGUACCUUUAAGAAUCUAAGUCGUCCUUAAACAGUAUAUAGUUUGAACAAUUUCAUUUCAGCAUGUUCAUAAGAUUGCCAUUACAGUCUCAGGGACUUUUCUAGAGCCUUCAUUUUGAGAUGAUUUUUGCAUAAUCCAUAAAUGUUCGUCGUGCUUGUUUAGUAAUUACAUACAUUUUGCACAUCAGAAUCACUUCUCUUUUCAUAGUACAGGACUUCAUCUUUGUGCGAAAACUGUUAAGGGUUCGUUUUCGGUUGCUGCAUUUGUAAAGGAGUAUACUAUGAUGUAGUUGAUAAUUGUGCAUUAACUUGGAUCAGAAUAACAGCUCACACUCUAAUGCGUAAUCUGUAAUAUUAUCUUCACGAGGCCAUGCUUUCGUUCCUGUCCAUUUGGCUGAUGAUAAUCUUUUGAUUUCGCACGCAGACGAGAGAACUGAAAAUUCAGUCGCAGUAGCCGCUGCGAAUUCUCCUCUUACUUCGAAGAAGAAUGUGGCUACACAAAUGAGUCCCGAGGGAAGCGCUCCCUCUUCUCCUGGAGAGAAUCCUUCGUUCUCCCAUUCGCCAUCGAACUACCGCAUUGAAGAGCUGGGGAGCCGUUUCGCGAAGCUUGAGAUCAAAGAUGUGCAGGUGGAUGAUCACGUGACUAUAACCAGGUGGUCGAGGAAGCACUCAAUGAGGAACUCUGAGAACCGACCGACAAACAUCAUAGAUUACUGGAGAAGACAGAGUGCGGAGAGUAAGGAUUCGUCCUCAGAAGUAAAUGAGACAGCAAAAGACAGAUCAAAGUAAGCGAAAAAUGUUACAAAAUUCUAAUGUAUCCCCCUAAAGCCGUUUACGUAACAAACAUCAUUUAUAGCAGUUGUACACUCUUACAUGACAUCCGAUCAAUCGCUCAUCAAACUACCACAUUCUAAGCAUGUGCUGCGUGGGCUCCAAUAGCUGAUUAGAAUGGCACAAUGUCUCAAUAAUAGUAAAUGCUAUAUCACUUUUCAUUGCUUUAUUUUCGUAACGAAAAUCAAUUAGCGACCAAUUUUCAAUCAAAUUGCCAUAGGUUUUGAAAUUCUACUAGUUCUUCUUGUGUGAUUGUUUCCUUUUAGUUGGAACCCUGAUUAACUUGAGUUUUUCUCCUUUUUAAGGCUUAAGAGAGAGGAGGCAAAGAUCGCUGCAUGGGAGAAUCUGCAAAAAGCAAAAGCCGAGACAGCAAUCCUGAAAUUAGAGGUUUCUUUUUUUUUUUCUAUAUCUGCAGAGUCUCUACCAUGCUUACGCUAUGAUUCGGUUUUGAAAUACGAAUAUGCUGUAAGAGUAAAGCAGGGUAUUUAUUUGUUAACGGAAUGUUGUGUUCUCUCAUUUAGAUGAAGCUCGAAAAGGAAAGAUCAUCCUCGAUGGAGAAAAUUUUGAUCAAGUUGAGGUCCGCUGAGAAAAAAGCCAAGGAAAUGCGCAAUGCUGCCUCUGCCAACCAAGCUCAAGACAUUUCUCAAACUCCAAGAAAAGCAUCGUACUUCCGCCGAGAUGGCCAAAUUCGUUCCUUGAGAAGUUGUUUCACCUGCCGUGCCUUCUAGCAUCAUUUUAUAUCAGAUAUCUGUUUCCUGCCCAUAACUUCGGUAAGUUCGACCUUCACUUUUAAAGUACUUUUGAGCUUUGGCAUAUUGUUGUCAGUUGGAUUUCGUAUACAUGGUAUCAUCUGAAGAUCAGAAAGAAAGAUAGCCAGUGUAACUUUUAAACUAUAAAUCGAAGUUCGGAAACACCUUAUUACGAUGGUUAUCGUAAGCAUCUUGCCAAACUUUUCAAGUAUGAGAUCGGUUGCUGAAACCGGAUGAUUGUUAGUGCAGUUAGGCUUUCUAUGUCAUGACAGUUGCUACAAUAAGUAUGGAUAAGGCUGACUUUCUAGAUUGAACUUCUUUGUCCACACUUUCUGCCCUAACAUUGCAAAAGCUUUUCAUAACUCAUUAGAUUGCCGUCACAAUCAGGCCCAUCAUUUUGCCAAUCUCGUGCCAAAAGCGAUCAGGGUGAAUUCCUUCACCAGAUUAUUUAACUCUCAACCAUGUUUUUCAUAGCCAUGCAUUCUCGUCAUAAUUAUGAUUCCAGAUUCUGUGAACGUUGGUAAAUGAGAGAAAUUCUUAGCUAUUGGAGGUACCGAAACAGGACUUUCAACCUUUCUGACAUUUAAUUUCAGAAGGAACUAAACUGAUAUUUUUGAUCGAUUUACGAUAAGAAAAUUUUAACCGGGUGCUCAACGAAUUAAGAUUCCAUCAAAUUCUGAACUUUACAGAUUAUUCAGCACACCUGAGCUGAACUCAAAAUAAUUCCUAAGAAUAAAUUUUACGUCCUGAUAUGCACCGAUUCUGGUAUGUAUAUAUAUGCAGGUUAUUAACUCUAAGAAUGCUGUUUCUUUUGCUUCUGUUUCAGCUGUAAUGAAUUGCUGCUAUCAUUUGCGGAUGCGAAACUAGCAAUGGUCGAAAUCUCAGAAGAUAUUUUAAAAUCUUCACACCUUUCCUCUAUUAUCUGACUAUUGAGUGUGUCAAGUAGGUAGUGCAUAUAUAAGGAUUUGUUCGCGCCAAUUAAAGGUUUCCAAUUGUAUCAUUUUGGCCCUAUUUACUGUAGAAACUUAUAUGUAGAAACUUAUAUGGAGAGUCUCUCCAUCACAUGUUAUGUAUGAAUCUUAAAGUAUAAUAGACGGUUGAUUAGAUCAUCUCGCUGUUGGGAUGCUCCCCGUAUAAAUUUGGUUCUGAUGAAUGUACCCUGCUAGCAUUUAUUUUGUGUUAUUUGUUCGGGUGUAGCCUCUCAGUUCUUGAUUAUAAGCUAUACUUUGCAUUCAUUUAUAUAUCUGAAGACACGCUAUAAUAUCUAAGUUGAUGGCACAUACUUUACUUUUUAGUAGAAUUGUCAAAACAUAUAUUUUGAUAGAUUCAUUACAAUAUGCGCAAGAUAAUGUUAUUUGAUCUAUGCACAAGCCCAAUUUUUUUCAGGGGAGUGGAAAGAUAUAUAUUUUAACACAUCCUACUUACAAUGCCAAACGGAGUCUCACAAGAAUGAGAUCGUGAUUUUAGGCUUCAAGAAAAGUGCAGGAUAAGCUUAUAUAGUAUUAAAUUAUGUCGUUACGCAUCUUCGGGUAAUUGAGAAUAUUGGUAAUUGAGAAUAUUUAUGUUAUACUUAUACAUGAAGUUUACAUUUAUUUUUUAAAUGUUUUGCAACAACAUAAAAUUACAAUAUAGAUUGAGUUAAAAGUGAGAUACACUGAUGAGAUUGAGCCUUAAUAGGCUCGUUUUGUCGUGUAUCCUUAAUUUACUUGAACUGAACACGCUUGAGCCAGCUUCCACAUGGCUAAUAUGUAUGAAGUUGGCUGAGAUGAAGCAGUCACUAAAAACUAUAAAAAGAUUUAAUCUGAGGGAUUAAUCAAUAAUUUAAAAAUCAGAUCAAAUCAGUUAGUUCGACCAGUCAGAUCGUGACUCAGUAUAUAAAAAGGAUCGGUUCAACCCUUCGACCGGUUCGAUUGUGAGUCAGUAUAUAAAAAUGUUUAGUUCAACCCUUUGAACUGGAUAAGUCAAAAAAUAUUAUUCCGAACUAUUCAAACCGACAGUUCAACCUUCAAACCGGUGAACUAGUCCGAUUUUAAUCAAACCAAUCGAAAUUUUUUUGAUCAAGUUAUAUUAAAAUCCAAUGGCCUAAAAUUAACUUGGCUUAUUUUUUUUUUCUAUUAACAUAGAUUAGCCUUAUUAAAAGUAAAACUUAGAUAUUUAUAUCUAUUUUAAUUUGAUUAAAAACCAGUAAUUUAUAAUUAAGUAUUUUAUUAGAAUAAUAUAUAUAUAUAGUCCGGCUGGUGUGUAUAUAUAUAUAUAUAUAUAUAUAUAUAUAUAUAUAUGGCUAAAUUACAGAAAACCUCCCUGUAAUAACCCGCUUUUUCACUUUUCCUUCCUGACAUUUAAAAACCUACACUUUGCCCCCCUGUAAAAUGAAAAAUGUUCACAGGGGGGUUACGGUGUGUAAAAUGACCAUUUUGCCCCUCGCCAUUGUCGUCUUCUUCCCCAUCUUCCUCAACCGCCCCUUUGUCCGGCCGCGAUUCCCACUUCAAUCGGCCGCGAUUUCUCUCCAUUUCCUUCUCCACCUGCUCCCCUUCUCCUUCUGCACCCUCGCCGCCCUCGAUUUCGGCAACAAUAGGAGACAACCGAGGUGGGCGACAGUAGGAGAAGAGCAAAGAAGGCGAAGGCGAGGCGGCGGAGGACGGCGAAGGGAAUGUGGGUGAGGGCGAGGCAGUGGAGGACAGCGAGGCGGCUAGGCGGCGAGACGGCGAGGCGGCGGCGAGGUGGCAAGCCGGAGGGAGGCGAAGCAACAGGGAGAUGGCGGAGGGGUAUUUUCGGCAUAAAAAUAUAUUUUUUAACAUAACCCUAACGGUAAGGGGUGAAGUGCACAUUUUUUAUUUUACAGGAGGGCAAAGUAUAAGUUUUUAAAUGUCAGGAGGGAAAGUGAAAAAGCGGAUUAUUAUAAGGGGGUUUUCUGUAAUUUAGCCUAUAUAUAUAUAUAUAUAGGCCAUGGCUAUUAUAUUAUUAUGAGUAUUGAAGUCCUCGUACUCAUAAGUUAUUUUAAAUGAUGGAGCUUCCGAAUCAACGAUCCACUCCGUUAAAUAUAAUCUAGAGUAUUUGAAACUUCUAAAAAAUAAAUUUUGUAAAUUUUCGAAAUCAUAAAAAAGUCCAUCAAGUUUGCAUAAAAUGAAUGGUCAAAAUCGAACGACGUCCUAAAAAAGGAUGAUCGGAUCCUUCAAUUCAAAAUCGGAGUUAUUGAACUUUAUCUAUGUAGUGAAUAUAAUUUUCUAUCAAAAAUUCAACAAAUUCCGAUUCUUUUACACCGUUAAACUAGCAAGUAUCCCAUACAGGCCGUUAAAAAUUGUCAAAUUUGUGACCUCUUUAUCGUAAGGUAAAUAAUGUCGAAAAAUUAUAAAAUUUGAUUUCUAGAAAUUUUAAAUACUGUAAAUAACGUUUAACGGUGUAGAUCGUCGAUUCGGAAGCUCUAUCAUCGAAAACUACUCAUGAGUACGAGGGCGAUCAUACUCAUAAUAGUAUAGUAGCCGAACCCAUAUAGGCUAGGGCUACUAUACUCAUAUGAGUAUAGAGCCUUUUGUACUCAUAAAUUUUCGGCCGUUCGGAUAAAAAAAUGUGUGGUUAGGAUAAGAGUAGUUAUGGUUAGGUUGAUAGUGGGUUCUCUAGGGUUGAGUGGGUGGUUGGUUGAAUAGUACAAUCUAAUGGGUGCAAAUGAUUAAAGGGUAGAUCUAAUGGCCAAAAACUUAUGAGUACAAGACGCUCUAUACUCAUAAGAGUAUAGUAGUCAGACUGAGUGGGCUGGGUAGAUCUGGUUGAGUAGAAAAAUUUUUUGUUUUUGAUUCGAUUGGGCUUUAUAUUUAGGCUUUAAUAGAUUUUUUAAAAAUAUUUUGGCAUAAAUGGAACACUUACACAAAAGCAUCCUACAAAUGUAUCCCUAUAAUCUAAUUCUGUUGUAGUGAUGCUAAAUCGUAGGUUGGUAAAGCCCUAAGUUUAGAACCUCAGGAGGGCUUUUUUGAAGUUUUCCUUAAUAUUUAGUGUUUACCACAUCUUCAUGCUGAAAUAUUGUGCAGCCUUGAUUGAAAUUCUAAAGACAAAAUUGAAGUUCAGAUCAAACUGCAAGGAGUAAGUUUCUAAUUAACACUAUAAAUAAAAUACUUCUUAUAAGUUUUAUUUCAGAAUCACCUAUAGUUGAGGGCUCUUCACAUAUUUUUACGUAAAAAUAGAAAUAAAUAAAUAAAAUAAUUUAUUUUUUACUUAAUUAUAUAUAAGUAACCUCUGUUAUUUUGCACAUAUAUUAAUUUCUAAAGGUAAAUAUGCAUAGAACUUAUGUGAACUAAAGAUCAUUUUGAUUCGACUACUCAAUCCUUUAAAAAUCUAAUUUUUAUUAAACAAACUGAUAGCUCUUCCGAUACAAAAUUUAAGUUAAUUAUUUAUUUUAAUAUAUUUAUAGUAACAUGAUCAUAUGAAAUAUAUACCUUUAAUGAUAAACAUCACAUUUAAAAUUUUAAAUUAAGAAGUCAUUAACCGGUCCAAAUCAAAUAAAUUAAAAUAGCCAAUAGUAAAAUUAAAAUUUUUAAAAGUAUGAUAAUUAAAUUAAAAUGAGCGAUAGUUGAAAUGAGUUCUAAACAUUUUUACCUUUUUUAAAGGGGCUUUUGUUUUUACAGCAAUGGUUCUAUAAUUAUUUUACUAAACUUAAUUUACAACCGGAUUGCAACUUCAUUGAUCCAAACGCCCCACAGGUUGGGCUUUUCUCAAUUAGGCUAUAACCAUGAUGGAUAGUUAGGCUUGGGGCAGACCAAUUGCAACUCGGACUUGAAUAGAUAUCAGCUGGGUUUGAGUCCAUCUAUUUGGCUAUAUAAUAUUUACAACUUAGCGAUCCAUUGAUAUUGAUUGAAAAUUCAUUAAAAAUUAUUGCUACGAAAUGUUAUUCUUAUAUAUUAUUGAUGAAGGACCUAGACCAUGCAAGAUUAUGCAAGAAAAAAAAAAACUAUAUAUGAACAUGUUUAGAAAAAUCCUUGUAGACAAAAAAAAAUUCUACAAAAAACUCCGAAGCAAAAGAAGCGUAUUAAUAGGCAAUACAUUAAAUCUUUUAAAAAACAUAGAGUUGAAUUAGGAUUUACAGUAGUACGGAAGUGAGGCAACAGUAAAUAAAUCCACAACAACAAUUCCAAAUCGUUGUUAGUUUCUUGAGAGAAAUAUAAAAAUAGUUAAUUAAAAAGGAAAAAAUAAGAAAAGCAAUUUGGAUUUCCGAAGCAGAAAGUAGUGUAGAAAACUAAGCAAUAAUUCAAUCUUUUUAUUUAAGCAAAGAAUAACUUAAAAAGUUUACAGGAUCAUAGAGUUGCUUUUGGAGUUACAAUAGAACAGAACCAAGGCAAUAGCAAAAAAGAUGUAGAAAAACGACAACCACUAAAAAGGGUCAAUUGGUUUAAUUAGAUUCAACUUGUGAUUAUUAGCCAUCUUGUAUAAUGCUUCUUCAUCUUUCUUGACAGUUCUUCGUAAAGCUUAAUCAUGAAAUUUUAGUGAAUUACUUUAAAUUUGGAAGAAAGGCUCUUAUUCUCAUAUACUUCUUUAUUCCCAUCUAGUUCUUCAAAUUUUCUUUUUCGUAAUUCCUUUGAUAGUAAUUUUGUUGUUUACUCUUUAUAUAUGCAUUCAAAUGUCAAACUCAAACUAUGCUAAGAGAAAAACAUAAAGCAUAAGAAGAAGUAUACUAUGCUUGUUGGGAAUCCGAUACUCGCCCCAGCACCGGAUUUUGAGAAUCCACAAUCCGUUCCGAUACCGACUGCUGUGGAUCCGGUGCCGAUUGUUGGGAUUCCGCAACGGAAACGUCAAAUCGAAUUUUUACCAUAAACCCGUCUCCUAAGCAAAAGCUAAUACAAUCACAAAAUAGAGAAAAACCAAAACAGAAAAUAUGCGGGUAAAAUAAAAUUUAUUAAAUAAAAGAAGAUUGCACCUGACUCCUCUUCUGCAACAGAAUAGCUACAAUCCGAGCCCUCUUUCUGAAUCUCUUCUACCAUUCUCUCGUCUUUUAUAAAUCUAAAGACAACUCUCUUUCUCUCUCACAUGCACCAGUGCACUAGAUGCAUGCAACCAGCCAACUCUCUCUCUGGUACUACCCACCAAAGAGCUUCAACUUUUUGGCAGUACUCCCUCUCCAAAAGCAUCCCAAAGGGUGCUUUUGUAAUGCAUCCUCUAAAACGUACGCGAAUUCUAGUCCAAUUAGAAUUCCUACUCCAAUAAAUAUUUAAAUUUAUAUAUCAUUUAUCUCCACUAGAUUUAAAUAUUUAUUCUAAUCUAGUUAGAUUCAUACUCUAAUUAAUAUUUAAAUCUUAAUUUAUCUACAAUAUAUUUAAAUAUUAAACCUAAUCCAACUAGAAUUAAUCUACAAAUUUAACCAAAUCCUAACAAUGCUAUUGCUUCUUCUUCGUAUAUAUUCAACUAUGCAUAAAAAUAAAACCAAAAAAAGAUUGGAGUAGACAAGAAGAAGAAUGAAUUUGCAAAAAUAAGAGGGAUGAAGAACCAACGAACACGUGCGAGGCAAGUGUUACAAAAAAAGAAAAAAAGGCACUACCAUAUGACUAUUUAUUUUGAGAACUAAAUUUAGACUUGACGAAUUCAAGAGUACAAGAACCAACACUACAAUUUAUCCAAGGAAAAAGAUAUUAUAUAAAACACUUUGCAAUGGUCACCAUAGAUUAUCUACAAAAGUUUUGAGCCUCGUGCUAUCUAUAAAAGCUAUAUACUAAUUUGCUGCUACUACAAAGAAGAACCAGGGCCAACUAAAUCUAUUUCGUGAGUUACAACAACUCAUUAAAAAGGAAAAGUCAUUUUCUUACAGGAAAGACACAGUCCUUAAACCACCGCAAAUUUUCUCUAACUCGCCCAUUCAAUAUUACUAUUCGAUUGCUACUGCAAGAACGAAACUUUGACACACAGCUAUAAACGUGGUUUUCUCUCACACAGAAUGACGGGUCGUUCUGGACCCACCUGUGUUUAUGAUGAGUUAGACACAUUAUAUUUAUUUUGAAUACUUAUUCAUUUGAGAGGUGCAUUUGAAACCGAACAUCAACACCCAUUAUAAGUUUCCAUAGGAUCCCUUGGCUAGACAUGAACAAAUAUUUGGUUGGAACCAUCUUAAUGUGAGUCUACAUGAUCCGUCAUUCAUAGUGUUUUGAGAUCUUUGCCAAUAGUACGAUGAUGAUGUAUUACAAAGUCUUACAUUAGGAAUGGUCCCCGUCAAGUUUUUGUUCAUUACACCCAGUAGUAGCCGGCUAAGUUAGCUUUGUUGCUUUUGGCUAUCAUAUUCCAAUUCUUUUAUCAAUAAUAAUAUUGUUUGCUUGGUGGUUGAUAUCCGAGGUUCCAAGUUCGAAUCUUAGUUGAUUCACAUUUCAAGUUAAGUUUAUUUCUAAAUAAAAUAAACGAAGUGGGUAGCAUACUACCUAUCUCUCAAAAAAAAAAAAUAAAAAUAAAAAAAUUGUUUGCUUGCCACUUGAAUGAGGAAUAAAUUUACUUCUUGUAGUCUCUAUUUGCAUUUCGAAUAAUCAGACACCAUCAGUUUCGAGGGAAUUGCUUUGGGCUCUCCACAAAGCGUCCUCUAUGAGUUGUUGAGUUGUUUGUGUGUUGGCAAAUUUAUGCGGUCCCCUGAACGUACUGCAUGCUUGAAUCAAUUGAAGACCUCCAUAUUAUGUAUGCUAACAUAUUUCCGACCCCUAAGACCAGCACUAAUGGAAAUUGUGAAGUUUAUAAUUGUUUCAAAAGCUUCAGGUGUUGUAUUUAUUAAUCCAUCCAAACACUACUUUCCUCAAAAGAUAAUUGCUCAUUUACUACGGUUCAACGGCGCAACAGUUUUUACAGUGCUUUGUUAAUUAGCUCAACAUUAGUAUACACAGGCCCUACUAAUUAGAAGUGAUAAUUUGAAGUUAUAAUGAAUUUGCCUGCUUUAGCUUGGGUAUUAAGAUAGCAUGCAUAUAUGCAAGUGAAGCGUUUUAUCGAAGAUCUCCACAAAACAGGAAAGCUAGAGAUAAAUUGAUUGCUGCUUUAAUUUUUCUAGAAUAAAUUGAUUGCAAAUUUAGUCCCUGAGCUUUUGAUUCCAAUUGGAGUACUCAAAUUUUAACAAUUUAGUGGGUGAAAUUUGUUAGCAACAAUUAAGCACUUCCUGUUAGACUACUAUCUAAAAAAAUAUCACAAAAGUCAUCAGCAAUACUUUUAAAAUAGAAACCUCAUGAACAUGUGCAGCUAAAUGAGGCCAACUAAAGGAUUUAAUCCUCAUACAGGACAAAUUUUAUAACUAAUCUAUUGAAAUUGUAAGGAUAUAGGAGGGUCAAACUCGAAGAGAAUUUUUUUAAUCUUUAUUUUGUUUUUGUUUCGGUGUGUAGAAGCCCUUUCAGCUCCUCUCAAUUUUAACUCAGUAUUGAGCUAAAGAAUGACAGACAAAUUCGCCGCAGUUGGCAUACUCCUAGUUACUUUGGGUGAUUUCCUAAAAGCUUGUGUUAGAACUGUUAAUUUUGAUCCUUUGCUACUGUAUGAUUUUGGCUUCUCACGUUCAAUAAAUUAACCAACAUAAUCGCGCACUUCUUUUGACUCAUAGUGUGUGCUUGGUCUAACUUUUAGAAUAACUCAUAUGAGUUUUUGAGCCUUCUACUGCUGCUUCUACUUCUUUAUCUGAUGGGUUUUAUUGAUAGGGUGACCUUGACAACAUUCAUAGGAAGUCGAGGUUAAAGGUUCAUAAAGCACAUUAAGACAACUUUGGUACAGAUGGUAGGAUUCCGAUUUCACAUCUCAAGAUUAAAAAUUGUGAUGUGGGACAAUUUCUGCAUUUCCAAGAUACGACAAAGUGAAUUAUUAAUCCAAAAUCAACACUCUUUAGUUUCAAAUUGAGAUGGGGUGGCUUUGGAUAUUAUCAUAAGCAUAGCCUAAGGCAUACACUAUGUCCGAAAGCUUGCAUAAUUGAAAUUGUAUAUGAGAUACUUUGUUGUCUGUUUUUAAGAAUUUUUCAUUUUACUUCUCAGUUCUGAAAUUUGAACCAAUCUGUGACAGUAUAUGAUAGAUGUUUCAAAUGAUGUCAAUCAACCUUGAUGUUUUCGAUGUUCAAACUUGAAAUUCAGAAUUCGUCAUAUCAUGAUUGUGGACCUUUUUGUGAAUCUUUAGAGUGCACACGACCAUUUUAUGCCAUUCUAUCUGAAAAUAUGACAUUCUUAUAUAUCAGGUGACUACUUCUUUGAAAAUAAGAGUCAAUGAAAUGAACAAUCAUUUCCGCCUCGCACUAAAACAUAAAACACAUAAAUACAUAAUAUUUGCUCUUUUGUUCCAAUAAUUUGGCUAAUUCUCCAUGAUGUAGAGGACCGUUUGUUCUAUAUGUCAACUAAAAGUUGUCAUGCUUUACUUUCUCAAUUCAUUUGGUUAUGGUUAUGAUAUGAGAAUUUUGGUACGAUAUUCACCUGAGCUGUUAAGGAUUUUUUAAAAUUCUUUAUAUUGCAUGUGUUCUCAAGAUUUCUUGUGCCAUUAUUUUUGUUGAAGCCUUUCUUUGGGGAUAACUAUGAUACUUGUCUAUUGUUCGUCUCCAUUAUACAGACAAUUAUUUACACCUGAAUUCUAUUUGAUUUAAAUUCUGUCUUAUUCAACCUUGAUUUGUUCGUAUUAGUAUCUUGUGCUCCUUUUGUCGGUACAAAACUCCAAAGGAGCUCCACAAAUGGAUCAAGAUACCAGCAGUUUUUUGAAUCGCUAUAAAAUUACACACCAAUCUUAUUAUCAGAGUUAGAAGUGAAAAUAGAGAACAUAUGCUUAGUGAUUCUAUUUUGUUUUUUAUUUUUCUUUAUUUACUUUUUCUUUUCUUUUUCUGUUCCAUUUCUAUCCAAUAAUACAGAUCAAGUGUGCAUAGUGAUUCUAUUUUGUUUUUUUUAUAAUUUUUAGCGUAAAAUUUUUUUUUGACCUUUUUUAUUUACAUUUUCUUUCUUUUUUUUCCCACUUCCAUCCAAUAAUGCAGAUCAAGUGUGCACAGUGAUUCUAUUUUGUUUUUUAUUUUUUUUUCAGCAUAAAACUAGCUCCUUUUUGAACUUUUUAAUUUACUUUUUCUUUUCUUUUUUCUUUUCCACUUCCAUCCAGUAAUGCAGAUCAAGUUUAAACUAUAAUAAAUACAUAGAAAUUUGUACUGAACACCAUAUUAAAAUAAAGAGGACACCAUAUUAAAAGGAUCGACGCAAACAAACAAUCAACUCCUAUAUCGAAAGAAAAGGAUGAAAACACAAAAACACAAAAGUUAGCUACUCACGACGCGAACAAAAUAAAAAUCCUAAAAGAAAGAGAAAAAAGAUGACAGAAUAAGGAAGGACGAAAUAAAAAAAGGGAGAAAGAAGGAAGAAAAAAAGGUAAAGUUUAGUUUUUACAGUUAAAAGGUGUCUUUGGAUUCUCAUCGGUUAGCAUCGUAUGUUUUGGACCACAUACGGUAGGCGAAUGAUCAGGAGAAGGCGCCAUCACAUAUUCAUCAGGAUUUGCCACCGUGAUCUCAUCAUCCAUUGGAACAACGUUGAUUGGUGAAUUAUUUCAAAAUAUCUAUUAAUGUUUUUCUUCAUUUCUUCCAAGCCAGCAACAAAUCGGUCCCUUUCUAUGAUCAAAGAAUUAUAAAACCUUCUAAGAAAGUCGUAGUCUAACUUAAGCAUUUCAUAUUCGUCACGAAGCUCUUCACGAUCGUGACAAAUCUGAUUGUAUAAACCUGUUAAAUAUUUUCUUUCCUCGUAAUAUGUGUCCGUAACUUCAAAGCUUAGCUAGUUGUAGGGCUGGCAAAUGAGCGAGCUGGCUCGCGUUCGACUCGAUAUUUGGCUCGCUCGAGCUCGACUCAAAAUUAAAUGAGCCGAGCUUGAACAAAAAAAAAGGCUCGAAAAGCUCGAAAAGCUCAAAUAUAUAUAUAUAUAUAUAUAUAUAUAUAUAUAUUAGAGCUAAUAUGCUAUCGAAAGUAUAGAGGAUCUGGUGCUUUCGAUUUUUUGAUUCUUAAAUCAACCCCUUUAAUCAUUUUUUAUCUUUUGAUUAAUAUUAUUAUUACCUUGUAGGGACCACUCAAUUAUAGGGGUAUUAUUUAAUUCUAGGGAAGACCGCAAUCAUCCCAACCAUACAAUUCUUAAUCAAAUGGUCAAAAUUUCGAAAACAUCAAAUCCUCUAUAUUUUCGAUAGCAUACUAGUUCUACACUCUAUAUAUAUAUAUAUAUAUAUAUAUAAUAUUUUAAUUAUAUAUAGGCUGAGUGAAUAAUCUCAGUUUAGUUGAAAUUGGGCCAAUGUUGUUGGUCCAUAAAAACAAAUCCAAUAGGCAAAUAAAAAAGCAAAAUUUUAUUAAAUUUAUACAUUUUCCUUUUCUUUCUUUCUUUCACAGAGCUCUAAAUUUUCAAUAUGUUUCUCUCUUUCUCUUUUUCUGUCUCUCACCCUAAGUGGCCAAGCCGGAAGCCCUCCAAGUUACCAACUAACAGCAUAUGCCCACCGUUGACUAUCUUAUUAUUAAUUGUAUACUUGAGAAAAUAUACAGAAUAUUUUUAAAAUAAAAAAUUAUUAUUCAUAUAAAAUUUUAAUUUUAGUUAUAUAUGAUUGGAUAGUUUAAUCCAAUAUUUAUCUAUAUAAUUUAUUUAUUUUUGACUGCAUAAAUGGAAAUGAAUAAUAUGGAGAUUGAAGGCGGAAGAGAAGACAUGUGAGGCUGAAAAGAUUAGAUAUUUAACUCAUAAAUUAUUUUUCUUCAUAUUAUAAUAGUAUAUUUCAUAUAAUUAUUUUGUACUUUGAACUAUUAGACAUAUUUUUGUAUCAAAUUAUAGAUAAUGUUCUAUACAAAUUAAACUAUUGAUCGUAUGAUGUUGAGAAUUUCAAGCAGCUCGUUUAGGGCUCGAGCUCGCUUGACUCGAAAUUAGGCUCGCUCGAGCUCGGCUCGAAUUAAUUUCAAUCCAAGCUUGAGCUUAAAUUUAGGCUCAAAAUUAAUUUCAAGCCGAAUUUGAGCCGAUGUAAGCUUGCUCGAGCUCGGCUCGUUUCCACCCCUAGCUAGUUGCGAAGCCUCCCAAUAGCAAUCCUUGCAGCAUCGUCUUUGGUACGAUUAGCAUUCGAAGACAAUGUGCCCCAACUUGUAAUGACUUCUAUAUAUGAUUCGGCUACUCCGAAUUUCUACAUCGAAGUAAGAGAAAAAUCUCAAGCCCGCAUGUAAUGUCAUUCCGUACCUUGGAGCAUGAGGCGAAAAUUUAGCGCAGAUCUUGCGAAGUAAACGGCGAAAAUUAAUAUCAACGCUAAUAGGUGUUGCCAUUGUUGUAGUCAAAUGAAAGAUGAGAGGAAGUAUAGUUCAUCACUCCGGAAGAGGAGUGAAAAAAAAUUCUAAGAAUUGGGAUAAGAAUUUGGAGCCGACUAAUAUUAAUCUACCGUAACGAUUUGGUUCGGUUCAGAGGUUCAGAGAGAGGCUGUUUAAUAGUUCAGUUCAGAUGUUUAGAGAUACAAUGAGCAGUUCAGUUCAAGUGCUAGAUAAGUAGUCCGAUUUAGAAUGCAUUUGGUUCAGUUUUCAUACAAAAAAUCAGAGAGGCAAUUCAUUGUUUCAGUUCAGAUGUUUAGAGCCGCAAUGAGCAGUUCGGUUCAAGUGCUAAUUUAGAGAAGAGAAAAGUAAGAGAAGAUAGAGAAUCGGUUCAAAUAGGUGGUUCAGUUCAAAGUGGGGCUAUGAGGGUUAAAAGUGACUUGCCACGUGGCAAGAAAUAUUAUGACUUUAUAUAGGUUUAUAAUUAUUCAUAACACUGUUAUUAUUUUAUUCUACAAUGAUUCCUCCUCCACUUUUAUUUUGUCAGUGCUUUAGGCAAAAUACAUAACGAAAUUUAUCGGAUACAUGUGCUAGAAUCUCCCACACGCAAAAUUUUUAAUGAGGCCCAAACUAAAAAGGUGUCCUCCACGUACGUAAGUAGAGAACAACUAGGGCAAGAAACCUACCCCAUGCAUGCAUGCAUAAAUACUCCACCAGAGUCGUUACACUUUCCAAUCCUAUAUUAAUUCCAAGAUCCCUGACUUGGGCAUGCCUUGUUGAGUUAGCAUCUACAUAUGUGCUCUAUAUAAACUCUCCAAAUACGAGAACUAUACGUAUUUUUACAUAAAACAAAAAUGAAGAGUAAACAACUCUUUCUUAGCCUCACUCUCGUAGCAUUCCUCGCCUUGCAACAAUGCACCGCUUCCGUCGGCGGCGGCAUCGGCAGUGGCUCGGGCUUUGCGAGGGCGAUCGGGGCUUGUUUCGUGGUCGAUGGGCGCCCGUUCUACUCGAACGGGUUCAACGCGUAUUGGCUCAUGUACAUGGCGUCGGACCCCGCGGACCGCGACAAGGUGACCACCACAUUCCAACAAGCCGCUGAUCUUGGAGUCACAGUGAUCAGGACUUGGGCUUUUAGUGAUGGAGGAUACAGGCCAUUGCAGUACUCUCCACGGAGGUAUGUUAGAGGUUUGGUGUUUAUACUAUACAUAUAUAUAUAUAUUAGUAUAUAUUAUAUAUUGCUUGUCACUUUUUUAAGCGUAACACGUAAUGAUAAAUUAUAGCUUGCUUAUAGAAUCAUAGAAGCAAUUUAAAUAGUUAAGUCAUCUAUAUAUUAUGCUAUCAAGAUACCACACAAAAUUUGUUUUUUUUUAUACGGUGAAGAUCAUACACGCAACAAACUCAUAAACUCGUUUUAGUACAUGUUUGGGUGCGUAUCAUUCGUCAGAAAGAAAAAAAGUGUAUGCUGAGUUGACAUUUAAUUAAUUAUAACUAGGUUUAUUAUAUACUUUUAUAUAUAUAUAUUAUAUAUAUUAUAUAUAUAUAUUUAUAUGUUAUAUAUAUUAUAUUGUAUGUAUGUAUGUAUGUAUAUAAAAUAGUUCGAUUGAUCCUACACAAUACAUGAUCAAAAUCAGAUCGAGCAGAUGACUAGUUAUUAUAUUAACGUGUUAGAUGUUAACGAACAUCAUCAGUCUGCUAUAUCGAUAUUGAAUUUGCGAAAAUAUAUGUCAAAGCACAUCGGUAAACUAUAUAUGAGCAGAUGCUAGUUAUUAUCUAACGUGUUAGAUUGUUACGAACAUCAUCAGUCUGUACAUCAAUAUGAAUUUGCGAAAAUAUAUAAAGCACAUCUAAACUAUAUAUGAACCAUUUUUAUUUUAAGUCAGUUAAUAAUAUUUUGACUUUAAAAAUUACGCUAAUUACUUACUCUAGUGAAUUUAUUGUUGUAAAUUUUAUAUGAAACAUAUAUACUAGCUAAAACUGUAAAAAUAAAUGACAUGUACAUUUAAAUUUUAAAGACAAAGUGUCGUUGGUUUUGAAAUGUUAGAUAAUAAAAUAAAAAUUUUGAAAAAUUGAAUAACCAAAUCUAAAUGAUUCACAGUUCAUGUUACUUCUGUACGUUUUACUAUAUACAAAACUUAGAAUUCUAGCACAUGUAUCUACAAUGCAAAAGGCUUUUUGGUCUAUCUAGUGACUCUUGUGGGCUGAUCCGAGCUUCUUAACUUGGUAUCAGAGCUUGUAUUUUUAUUUUUAUUUUUAUUUUGUUUGUAAUCAGGGGUUAGAUUUUGUGAUAUCUGAGGCCAAGAAGCAUGGGAUCUACCUAAUACUGAGCUUGGUUAACAAUUGGGAUGGUUUUGGUGGGAAGAAGCAAUACGUGCAAUGGGCAAGGGACAAGGGCCACUACUUGGGAUCUGAUGAUGAUUUCUUCAGGGAUGAUGUUGUAAAGGGAUAUUACAAGAACCACAUCAAGGUUAAACUAACUGAGUUUUUGAUUAGUUUUUAUGUUAAACUUAACUUGUUAAUAAUAUACGAUCUCUCCUUGUAUUAGUUCUUUAUUAAUUUGCUGCAAUAUAAUUAAUUAAUUAAUUAAUUAGGCAAUUCUCACGAGGGUUAAUACCAUAACUGGAGCUGCGUACGAGGAUGAUCCCACCAUAUUUGCGUGGGAGCUCAUGAACGAGCCAAGAUGCGAAAGCGACCUCUCGGGGAAGACCCUGCAGGUAAUUAAUUAUUAAUUGCAUGAUAAUUCAUCUUAUUAGUAUGUAUAUGUAUAUAAAAAUUAAAAAGGAAAAAAUAAUACACAUGGCAGAUGUUUUGAACAUACAUCUUGUUAUAUAAAACAUGUUUAUUUUAUCAAAAGUCAAACACGGUGAAGUUGUUUUUGGCUGUAAAUACUCAUUUUCAUUACUUGAUUCGCUAUAAAUUAAAUUUUUUCAUACUUCCAACCUUUUCAAUUCCCCUACAUAUGUGAAACGAAGAGAUUAAAAAACAAGAUACUAUUGCAACUUUUUUGAUCCUCCUAAUUCACUACAACAGAAUUAGAUUAUAGGGACACAUAUUUGGAACACUUUUGUGUAAGUAUUUUAUUUAUGCCAAAUUUUUUUAAAAAAAAUUACUAAAAUCUAAAUAUAAAGCCCAAUCCAAAAAAGUUGCAAUAGUAUCUUGUUUUUUAAUCUCUUCGUUUCACAUAUGUAGGGGAAUUGAAAAGGUUGGAAGUAUGAAAAAAUUUAAUUUAUAGCGAAUCAAGUAAUGAAAAUGAGUAUUUACAGCCAAAAACAACUUCACCGUGUUUGACUUUUGAUAAAAUAAACAUGUUUUAUAUAACAAGAUGUAUGUUCAAAACAUCUGCCAUGUGUAUUAUUUUUUCCUUUUUAAUUUUUAUAUACAUAUACAUACUAAUNAAAAAAAAAAGCUCGGAAUUCAUUUCAAGCCGAGCUUGAGCAUUACUCGGCUCGUUCGAAUUAGGCUCGAAAAACUCGAAUAUAUAUAUAUAUAUAUAUAUAUAGUAGAACUACUAUGCUAUCGAAAGUAUAGAAGAUCAGGUGCUUUCGAUUUUUUGAUUCUUAGACCAACCCUUUUAAUCAUUUCUUAUCUUUGGAUUAAUACUAUUAUUAUCUUGUAGGGACCACUCAAUCCUGAGGAUAUUAUUUAAUCCUAGGAGGGACCGCAAUCAUCCCAACCAUACAAUUCUUAAUCAAAAAGUCAAAAAUUCAAAAACAUCAAAUCCUCUAUAUUUUCGAUAGUAUAGUAGUUCUACACUAUAUAUAAAUAUAUAAAUAUAUAUAUAUAUAUAUUAAAAAAUAUAUAAAUAUAAUAUAUUUUAAUUAUAUAUAGGCUGAGUGAAUAAUCUCAGUUUAGUUAAAAUUGGGUCAAUGUUGUUGGUACUAAAUUUAACAUUUCCAUCUUAUUUCUUUCCUUUCACAAAACUCUAAAUUUUUCAAUAUUUUUCUCUCUUUUUCUUUUUUUGUCUUCACCCCUAAGUAGCCAAGGCGUAAAAAAGACGCAUCCUUCAAAAGUUACCCAAGUAUCAGCAGAUCCGCCAAUUGCCUACUGCUUGCUAUUAAUUAAUGCUUAGAGCAAAAAACAUGAAUAUUUUUUAAAAUCAACAAAUUACUUCUUCAUCAUAAACAUUUAAUUUUCAGUUAUAUAUGAUUGCAUACGUUUACUCACAUAUUUAUCAUAUAAUUUUAUCUGUAGUUUUGACGCCGGCAAAAUGAAAAAUGAAUAAUAUGGGAUUGAAGGCGGAAGAGAAAGACAUGUGAGGCUGAAAAAAUUAGAUAUUAGACUCAUCAAAUCAAGACAUGUGAGGCUGAAAAAAUUAGAUAUUCGACUCAUAAAUUAUUUUUCUUCAUAUUAUAAUACUAUAUUUCAUAUAAUUAUUUUGUAUUUUGAACUAUUAGACAUAUUUUUGUAUCAAAUUAUAGAUAAUGUUCUAUACAAAUUAAUUAAACUAUUGAUUGUAUAAUGUUGAGAAUUUCAAGCAGCUCGUUUAGGGCUCGAGCUCGCUCGACUCGAAAUUAGGCUCGCUCGAGCUCGGCUCGAAUUAAUUUCAAUCCAAGAUUGAGCUUAAAUUUAGGCUCGAAAUUAAUUUCAAGCCGAAUUUGAGCCGAGGUAAGCUCGCUCGAGAUCGGCUUGUUUCCACCCCUACAAAUAAGUGUUGGUAACUUAGCAGCACCUUUUUUAGGUUAUACCAAUACUCUUAAACUGUCAUUAUAUACCUAACGACCCCACAUAAAGCAACACUUUUUAAAAGUGUAGGUAAUUUAGUCAGCAGUAUUUUUGUUGACCUGUACCGACAUUUAAAAGUAUCGCUAUACACCAUUUUUGUUGUAGCGAUUCUAUACUUCUGUGAAAAUUUUUAAUAAAAUAAAUCAAAACGUAGGAUGAUGAUAGUUUCAAAGUCAUUGAAUUUCUAUUAAAGAAAUACUAGUACAAAAUAGCUAAAAUAAAAAUAGCAAAAAUAGCUCUUGAAAAUGAUAAUUUUUAAUCACCGAGAGCCAAACAACUCAUGUAUCUUUACAAAAUAGCUAAAAUAAAAAUAGCAAAAAUACAUACUCUUAUAAAUACCCACUUUUUCACUUUUUUCAUGACUUAAAAAAAAUCUAAAUUUUACCCUCUCAAAAUUUUAAAUUAAUAUACUUACCUUCCCUAUUCAGGUUAUGCUGCAAUAAUUCGGUCUAUUGUUUAUAAUUUAUAAUUGGAUAUAUCUACCUUCCCUAUUCAGGUUGUGCUAUCAUUCUGUCUAUUGAAAAUAGAUGGAAUACAUAAAGAAAUUAUUUUUUUUCUAUUGAACAGUAAAGAUAGUUUUGUUAUUCUGCUCUCUCCGUUAACGUCAUAACCUUCUGAAAACAUUUUCAAAUUUUAAUGAGGGAGAAAAAUAUAGAUUUUUGAAAGUAAAAAAAACAGUAAAAAAACGGAUAUUUACGUAAAGGUGUUCUGCAUUUUAGCUUUAAAGAAUUAUUAAUAAAAAAAAAUUGAAUAAACCUGGUUACUUUCAGCCAGUACUAAUUAAGCGACUAACCUCAGUCAAUUUAUCUGUUAUUAUUAAUUUCAGAAUAUUAUUAAUCUGAUCAGCCAUUAAGUAAAUUCAACAAAUUUUAGGGCUAAAUUAAUGUAUAUAUGGUUAAUUAAAACAACUAUAAUGUUCAUAAAGAUUAUCUAAUUUUCUGAAGUUUCAAUAACUACCUGCAAUUAAACAUAUAUUUAGCAAAAUCUGUAAAAUAUUAUAGAUAAUUAACAAUUCAUUGAACUGAUACAUGAUGGUGGUAAGCGAAUUUACUAAGCAUGCAAGUAUGCAACUGAUGAACACAUCUGAUUUAAUGUGCAGGCAUGGAUCACAGAAAUGGCUGCUCAUGUCAAGUCCAUUGACAGCAACCACAUGCUCGAAAUCGGGAUCGAAGGAUUCUACGGCGAGUCGAUGCCGGAUCGUAAGCAAUUCAACCCCGGCUACAAAGUCGGCACCGAUUUCAUCUCCGACAACCAGAUUCCUGGGAUUGAUUUUGCCACAAUUCAUGCAUACCCUGAUCAGUGGUGAGCACUUAAUCCUGCAAUUCGAUCGAUUUGUUGCUCUAUAAAAGCUUAAAUUACUAGAGAAUGAUAUUCAAUGUACAUAUUCUAUGUAUUGGGCCCGAAAAUUUUAAAUGCUUUUUUUUUUUAAUUUCUCUUCUAAUAGUAUAAAAUAAUGGUGAGAACUGUCCAAAAGUACGUCAAUUUUUUCGGCUUUUUAAAAUAUAAAAACAUGUUAGUUUGGCAAUACAAUAUACCUCAACUAGAUCUAAUUGGUUUUGCUUUUGGAAAUUUAUGUAGGGAUUUAUUGUACUUGCCUUGUGAGAUAAUUAUUUGCAUCAUUCUAGGGAAAGAAAAAUUGAAAAAAAAAAUCCACCAAAAAUAACAAUAAGGAAACACCAAUGCUAUCAUAUUUCUUCUUUUUUAUCUCUCAAAAAAAAAAAAAAAAUUCUUCUUUUUUAAACUGAAUAUAAAUCUUGUGUUCAAUGUCAUUUGUUCUUUACCAACUAAAAUUUUUAUAGAAAACUAGUUUCUCACUUAAUACCAGAAUUUUCUGUUUUAGAAAAAUUAAAAAUAAAAUUUGCUCCCUUCAUAAUUGGGUUAAUUACAUAUGAAAUUGUAUAUACUUAUUGAACAUAAGAGCAUAAGAUUUAGUUUAUUAUUGAGAUUUUUUUAAAAAUUAAUUUAGCAUUUUUUAAUAUAUAUAUAUUUUUUAUAAUAAUGCGAAUGGAGUGCACCCUAAAUCUACUGAGCUCAAAAUGGAUGGAACGCAGGAUCUCGGGCUCGAGCGACGGAGACCAACUCGCGUUCGUGCAAACGUGGAUCCGAGCCCACGCCCGCGACGCGGCGGCGGUGCUCAAAAAGCCGCUCAUGCUCACGGAGUUCGGCAAAUCGUCGCGGUCCCCGGGCUACACCGUGGGCGCACGCGACGCCUACUUCCUCGCGGUCUACGAGGCGGUCUACGCCUGCGCGCGCGGCGGUGGACCCUGCGCCGGCGCGAUCUUCUGGCAAGUGAUGGCCGACGGGAUGGCCGCGUGGACCGACGGCUACGACGUCGUUUUUUCGCAGAGCCCCUCCACGAAAAGCGUUAUUGCGCAGCAGUCCACCAGGAUUUCGAACCUAAAUGUCCCUGCUAGUAAUAAUAAAUUUGUUGAAGGGGGUUUCGAUAAUUUGGUGCGAGGGGAUUAGUUAAUUGAGUAAGUUACUCGAAAUAAAAACAUCAAAGACUCUAAUGUACUUUUUUUUUUUUUUUGUAAUAAGAAGAUAGGGUGGUUGAUCCAAUGUGGUAGGAUCAUUAAUUAAUAAAAGUGAAUGAGGAUGCACGGAGCCACGGAGUUGUAUGAUCACUGGCACUAUUUGAAAUAACUGAGUGCUCAGAAAAGUUUAAUCAGCAGGAGAGUAACAAUUUGUCACAGAAUUUGCUUAUUUUGGCGCUCAAGUUUUUCGACAGAUCCUGACGAUUUCGAAACAGAUUGAUUUUUAUUUUAUUUUUUUUUUACCCUCAUUUAUCACUUUAUUCGGGAUCAGUUGGGAUUAGAAUGAAUCUUUGACAAAAUCAGAAUAUAUCUGACGGAAGCUUCACUGAUCCAAAUCAAUUUGCAGCCCUACCCAUGGGGUCUUUUUUGUAUUUUUAUUUUUUUAAUCAUUGCCUGUAGGUCCGUUGUCCUAUCUCCCAUCCAUCCCAAACUGAUCUACUGCUAGUACGUAUCAGAUAAAAUUCCUUUUUUUUUUUUUUUAUAAAUAUACAUAUGCAGAAUUCAAAAUCUUUUAUCAUUCAGAAACUCGAUCUAUACCAUAAGAACCACUGUACUAGAAAAAAGUUUUUCCACCUAUGCAACUUAUCAUUAGGAUGCCAGUGCAUGCCCAAGGGCUCUCCCUGCUCUCAUCAGUUGUGGAAGCAAUUAAAGUGUGUGAGAAAGAUAUAAAAAAGAUAUUAUUAAUGAGAUAUACAGUACAUCUACUGGCCCCAUUUUCUUGAAAAAGAAAAAGAGAAAGGAAAAAAGAAAAGUACAGCUGCAUGCAAGAAAUUUCAAAUGAAACUUUUUUAGCAACAUUUUUGGUGCCAGCUUCUUCUUUCCAAGAAGAAAACAAAAGACAGCUAAUUAAUACAUAUCUUUUUUGGUGCAACUUCACACCACAUACAUAUAUAUUUGCUACAUUAACAUCUCCUCCAAAUCUUCCUUCGGAGGAUUUUCUUUAGGGCCAAUACUUUAGCUCCAUGCACUCUAAAACAAAACCAAUAAAAAAAAAACUAAAAUAAAACUCUCUUCUUUUAUUUACAACUUCUUUGAGAAAAUGUAUUCAAGCAAGACACAAAUAUCUCUCGUACCUUUUGGCCUAUAAAGCUACUAAAAAUUUGAUCCUUGCACCUUCACCGUAAAAUAUCUUUCUAUUAGAUCAGUCCUUUCGGAUAUGUUAUCUUCAAUUGUUAGAUCGUUUCACACGAAUUUUAAGAGAGAAACUGCGCCUGAAAAAGACGGAUCUGAUAGAAUUUCAUUUUCUUUAUCCCUCGUACCAUGCAUGCAGUUCAGUUGCAGACUUUUCCGCCGCGCUGCUGCACCGCCGCCGCCGCCGCAGACACGCCCAUCCACGGCGGCGCGCCGAAUCCCAUCUUCAUGGGCCGGCGCUCGUCGACGCCGCACGCGUCGCCUUCCUCGCACAAGCCUCUCUUCCUCAUCCCUCCCUUAUUGCCCUCCCCCACCUCAAGACCUUUCAAAAUCACCCCGAAGAGUUUGAGCUUCCCCUCCUUAGCCUCUUCUUUCCGUUCCACCGCAUCCUCUCUCUCCUUCGUUGUCUCCUCCGCCGCCGCGUUCUCCUGCAUCAAAAGGUCGAAGUUGAGCCCCCUCACGUCCACAAACUUCGAUAGAAAGCCGAGGAGCUCGUCGCAUUGCUGCUUCGCCUGCGCGAGCUCGGUGCUUAGGAUCUGGUUGUGCUUCUUGAGCUGCUCAUUCUCAUGAGACAGUUGGGCUAGUUUUUGAGUUGGCGGCGGCGGCGGAGAAGGGGAGGAGGUGGAGGAGGAGCUGUGGACAUCGCCGGAGUUGGUGACGGAGGAAGGAGGGAAAAGUAGGGGAGGAGGAGGCGGCAGCAACUGCGCGCUGCAGCCGGAUGUUCCGGGCUGCGGAGAUUGGGGCAGCGGGGGUGCCGCCUUGCGGCGGCGAAUGCUGGAGAGUAGGCCUUGCUCUCCCCGCCGGAAGCUCUCGUUCGCGAACUCCCACCUGUGCGGCACCACCUUGCGGAAACCCUGCAUAUAGAGAGACUUCAGAUUCUUACGUCUGCGAUAGCUGAGAAAUUAGUGAAUAACUACUACUACUACUNAAAAACUUUCUGUACAGAAAAAAAUGGCAGCUAAAUUCAAAGCGCCAAUUUCCGAUUAUUUUAACUGGCCGGCCAAAAUUAUUAUUAUUAAUAGUAUUAAAAUGGAUAUAUUCUAAUGUAAUAUUGAAUUUCUAUGAAUUAUUUACGGACUUUGCCUAAUUGUAUAUAAAAUAUAUCAUACUAAUCCAAACGGUACUUCUAAUUGAGAGCACGUUUUUCAAAUUUUGAACCAUUUUCUUUCAAAAAUGUUUAUGUUGACUUUGUUGUCAAAUACUUCAAGACAAAUAUAACCCAUUAUAAUAUUAAAUUAAAUUAAUGCUCUUUCCCCCAUCAAGAUAGCGGUGAGGAGCAGUUGCGGUGGGUCAAAACAGUGGAAAUUGCGAUUGGAUCUCGCACUUCAAUCAAGUCGCAUCUUAAUCACAGUUUGACUCGUGACCAAAUGUGUGUUGCUGAGUCUCAGAAAGCGACAAAAACAUUUAUAAACCUUUUUGCUGUUUUCAUACGUUAACUCUGAAAGCAAGGUUUUCUAUUUCCCCUCGCUCUUCUUUGGUGGACUUACUCUACAGCGGUCACAUGUGUUGUUGUGACUUGUGACCAAGUAAAACACGUACAGCUGAGUCUCACUAUACCCAAGACUCAAAAAUUUUCAUUUGAAUAUUUUGUACCCUUUCAAGUACGAGAACUUAACAGACACAAAAAAAAAAAUCUCAAUAUAAAAAUAUUUUUUAAAAGACGCUUGGAAGAUGCGUUUCUAAGCAUCUAUAUAAUAUAGCAAAUAUCAACGUUUUGAAAAAACGUCAUUAUAUAAAUUUUUUAUUGUAUCUAACUAAUUUAUUAAAUAAUAAAUAUUAUUAUUAUUUUUAAUUUUUUGACGUUUUAAAAUAUUGAUAUAUAGAUAUAUACGUAGCGACUUUUCAUUUGCGAACACUUUAACUGACGCUUUCAAAUAAGACGCUAGACUACAUAAAACGUACUUAAAUAUUAAUUUUCUAGUAGCGAGGAUAUUCACGUUAAUUAUUUCAGUCAAUUUUUUUUUUAUCAUUUCAGGCAUGCAAAACACUUAACACGAAUGUGAGAGGAGGUUUCAAGGCUAUUUCUGACUCUAUUUUCUAUAACAUUAUUUUUUAUUUAAGUGUGUGCGCACAUUGACCGUCAUAUAUCAAUAAAAGAAAAACCUUUCGUGGAGAGCUUUUCAAUAAAGCCUCAUUGAGCAGUUUCCGAUUCACCACAUCAUACCAGUUUUGUCUCAAUUCAAAGGUUAUAUAUCCUUCCGUAUAGAAUUUAUUUUUUUUUUAAUAAAUAGUAUUAAAAAAUAAUCAAAUAAACCUUUGAUAAUAGUAAAACCGACACGUACGAUAAAUCAGGAGAUUCUCCAUCGAGUUGUUAUUGAAGAGCUCCCCACUAAAAUUUUAUCUAAUACGAGAGAGCUGUACUCCGAAAAAUCUACAGCAAAUAACUCUAAUUUAUAUAAGUGUAAUAUUUUCCGCUUCUAGAAUACUCCACAACCAUGGUAAGCAAAAGCCAUUUUCGGUGCAACAGCGACUUUAGAAACAGUGGAUGUAGCAGGUGUUGAACUAACUACCGCAAAGAAAGGGAUAUAAAAUAUAAUAUUAGCUUAAAUUAAAUCACUUAGACUCGAAGGACAAUUCACACUUGAUGUGUACUACGAAACUCGUCCAUUUUUAGGGGAAUGUUGUGACGUGCCAAGAACGUUAGUAUUGCGUGUUACCUUCGUGCGCUCUAAUUAAGUUUCUUUAAUUGUAGUAAUCAUAAUAAUAAUAAUAAUAAUAAUAAUAAUAAUAAUAAUAAUAGUAAUAGUAAGGGGCUUAUAUUACUAGCUUUUUGGAUAUAAAAUAAUAUAUGCAUUCCAAAAAUUCACGUAUAUGUAUAAACUUGAAUAAUACUACAAAUAAUAAUAAUAAUAAUACUGAAUCAUUCAUUUUCACUUUAUUUGAUGGGGCUUGAUUUGUUUAUUCAUGAAUCAUAAAUAUAUAUAAUGACUAAUAAGGAAGCUAUAUAUGAUUAAACAACUAAUACUACAAUUAAAUAGGACAAAAUAAGAGAACCUUUUAAACUGGAUUAUUGACCAAUAUAAUGAAGGGGAAAUGACUAUACGAACUAGUUUGCAUUAUUACCUCACUGAACUGCUAGCGAUUUUAAAUAAAAUAAUGAAAGAGAAAAAAAGAAAAAGAAAAAAAGAAGUAUAAAUAAGGAUAGCAAUAAAAUUGGAUGCAUAUUUUUAAAACUACACAUAUAAAUGGCUCAAGAAGCAUGUAUGCCAUACAUAGAAAAGAAAAAUCCUUAAAUAUUAUCCAGCAAAUCCAAUAAAAACUAAUUAAAAUCGAAGAAGGGUGAUGUGUCAAAUUUAUAAGAAUCUAUUAGUGGGCGGUGUUACAACAACAUCACUAAUAGGUGAUCCUGUGACAACCUAAAAUGUUCGUAAUAUCAUUUAACUUAUUUACUUAAAAUAUUAUCCCAAACACUAAUAACAGCACAAUUCAAAUUACAUAAAAUUUUAAUUGACAAUUUUACUUAACAUCAAAAAUAAGAUUAAUACUUCUGAUUCAAAAUUUGAGUAUUUUAUCACUCUUUUUUAGAUUUUUAUUUUCAAUCAUCCGUUUUUAGGCUAUUCAUUCAUUAGACAAACAAAGUCAAAAAAUUAUAAAAUUUAAUUUCUAAAUAAUUCUAAUAGUGUAGAUCAUAUCUGCCGAAACUGAUCAUCGAAUUAAAUAUCCCGUCAAUAAAAGCAGCUUACAAAUACGAACGUCUUUAUACUUUAUACUUUCGAAAGUAUAGAAGCCUAACUCCAUAAAUUCAUUCUAUAUAUGUAUAAUAGAAGUCUUCUUUUCCAAUCCAUAUCAAAACAAGCUAGAAAAAGCAACCAGGAGAAAGACUUCGUAAAACAACCCCAAAAAAAUUUUUUUUUUUUAAAAAAAAGCGCUUCAAAAUUCCUAGCUAGCUAGCUAGUUUAUAAAAUUGUAUUUUGAUCAAAUAAACCAACCUUGAACUAGCGAUGAAAUUAAUUAAUUCGCGCAAUUCCAACCUAGCUAGGCUUUAGAAAAUAAUAAUAAUUAAUAGUGAAAUUGAAAUUGUAACUCACGUAGGUGUUGAGCUGGCGGACGAAGGAGGAGAAGUUGUUGUGCUUGAAGUGGAGGGGCAGCAGGUCGCGGGCGAACUCGACGGGCUUCCAGACGACGAACGACCGCCCCUCCUCCCCCCACGAUAUGACGUCGUCCGUCUCCGCCGCCUCCACCAUCUCGUGCGUCUUCAUCAGGAACGGCGCCGGCCCCGAUCCUCCCGACCCCGAUCCCGAUCCCUUCCCCUUAUGCGUCAUCUCCUUUUUGUAUCUAUCUAUCUCUAUCUCUAUCUCUAUCUCUAUCUCUAUCUCUAUCUCUAUGUAUCGCCGAUAAUCAAUUCACUAACUAAUUAAGAAUCGAUCGAUUAAUAAGAUCGGCACGAGAAGAGGAGCAAAGCGGUGAGAAAUUCCCAGCCCCAGCAAUAGAAACCACUGAUCACGACACAGUUGUUAGCCACGGCUCCCUCCUUUUCCAUGUUACGAAAAAAAACUCCCCAAUUUUAAUCUCGAAACACUAGUAGAAAAAUCAGAGCCAUGGGAGACCGAAGCGAGAGAGAGAGAAAAAAAAAAUACUGAGGAAUCGAGGGUCUACGCGAUUUAAAUGGAGGGGGAGGAGGAGAGAGAGUGCGCGAAAAGACGAUUUUAGCCUCGCCUUGCUUCCGGAGUUGGGGCCAGAGUGCGGGGGUGGUUCGGUCAUUUGGCGAAUAUAAGAAGCUUCCUCAGAGGCCGAGAGUCGCCGGGCCGUUGGGUUUGGACACGUGUCGAGCAUCCGACGGCUUCUGCGGUCCCCCGAACGCUUCUUGGUUGCGGGGGUCGCGUCACCGUACCUUGGCCGUUUCUUGAGGUUUAAAUUGAGAAAGGAGAAAAGUAGAAGGGUAAAAGUGUAAAAUAAAACAAAAAAGUGAGGGGGGGAUGAAAUGAAACAGGGGAAUGUGUUAUUACACCUACCGCGAGGACCACGGACACUGGCGUCGGUCUAUACACCGGGUUCACGUAACAAUAAAUAUUUUCAGAUAAAAUUAAAAAUGGUUAAAUUUUAUUUUCAAUAAUUUAAAAUGUAUGAAUAAUUUCGGAGAAUCUUUUUAUCCAACAAAGUUGAAUAUUUUAGAACCAUUUCGUGCCUGAUAAAUAAGUUUUCUAAAAUUUUUUUGUUGGACAAUAAAAUUAUUGAAAGGUGUAAUAUUAUACACUAAAAUGUAGUUUUAUACGGUGUUAUUUUAGUUGCAUUAUUAUAGUAAGGAGUACUAUAUUAGCAACCUUUCCGUAUUACUUUUUGUAAUAAAAUUAGGAACAUAUAACUAGAUAUUUUGUUUCUAAGGCUCAAAUACCUUAUUAAUUUAUUUGUUACUAUCUAUAUAUUAUCACUAUAUCGGAAGUAGAUAUGUUUAUUUUACUAAAAUAAAAAUGAGCACAAUAAUUUUCAACCAUAAAGACUCACUUUUAUUGUUUGAUUCAUAUUAAUUGCACAUUCGGUCAAAUCUCAAACUUUUCAAAAUAUCUUAAUUAAUUUUGGCCCAGUCAGAAUUGAAGCCAAUUAUGCAAAUAUUUUUCUUUUUUGAAAGAAAUGUAGCAUAUUAUCAGUUUUAUUUAUUUCAUUUAAAAAAUAAAUUUAGCUGAAAAUAUGAAUUAAUGAGAACUUGAAUUUGAGACCUCGGGUAUCAGCCACCAAGUCUUUUACCACUUGUACUAGAGACAAUCGGUCCGAUUAUGCAAAUGUUAAUCAUGAAAUGCUUUAUUAGUAUUUUAUGCCGUUCUACUCCCAAUAAAUAAACAGCAGAAUUAGAAAAACUUCAGUUCGACAGCUAUAAACGAAACAGCGAAAGAAAAUUAAUUUUUACGUAAGUUCUGAUUUAUCUAAAAUCUAAUUUAAUUUGAAUGAAAUUUUUGGUGAAACAAUCGGACACGAUUUCCUCCUGAGCUAAUUGAAGGCAGAGAGGGGCUUAUCUGGCAAAUUUUGGAAAGUAAAGGGGUUUUUUAUCAUUCCCACCGAUAUAUUUGACUUGCAACAUACCCAUUACCGAAUUAGGUUAGUUACUUAUGCCCACUUUCGCGCCAACUGUUACAACAUCAUUAAUCUCUGGCAAAAAUGUUUCCAGACCCUCGCAACUAUUUUAUUGGUGAUAGAGUUGAAUGUCUUCCUAGGGUUGCGUGGUCCUCACUCGAUUACAGUAUUUAAUCCAAUAGUUAGAAAUAAUGAAAAGAGUUAAUCUAAAGGCUAAAAAACUGAUAGCAAUAAUGAGAUUUUGCUACUAAUAAUAGUCCAGUCCAACUAUAUAUAUAUAUAUAUAUAUAUAUAUACACACGUAUAUUCAAAUUUGGGUCUGUCGACAAACUUAUUUUUCGGCGGAAAAAUUAGCGUCCAUUUUUCUCUUUCCGUACGAAAAAUUUUAAAUAUAAGAAUAAAAAUAGAAAUAGAAACAGCAAUGAAUACAUAAGUUCUCUAUAACAGAUUACUAAUGUGAAAAUCCUAAAAUAUAAAUUUUUCUAUUUAAUUUCAAAAGUAAGUUUUCUAUAACAAAUUACGGGUGUGAAAAUCCUAUAAAAGAUAUUUUCUUAUUUUAUUUUAAAAUAUCUUUUUUAGAUAUUAUCUAUUUAAUUUCAAAAUAUAUUUUCUUUUUAAGAUAACGGAUUUUAUUUUUCUAUUUAAUUUCAAAAAUAAUUUUUGCAUUAGAGAUUAUUGUUAAUUAUUUAUCAUUUAAAGCAUAUCUUUCUUAAUAGCGUGAUUUAUUAUUUUAAACUUUUUAGAUACAUAUUUGGCAAUCAAAUAAAAUAUGGCCUAAAAUUAAAAAAUAAUUUAAAAAAAUUAUAAAUUUUUCUAAUAAUUAUUACGUGCAUUUGCACGUACAUUUUACUAGUAUAUAUAUAUAUGAGUUGAGCUAGAAUACUAUCGAUAGCAAACGGGCUUCGUUGCCACCCAUUUGUUUUCGAUGAUAAAACCUCCAAAUCGACGAUCGGAAUCAUUGAACAUGAUCUAUACCACUUGAAGUGCUUAGUAAUCAAAUUUCAAAUUUUUUCGACAUUAUUUGCCUAAUGAUCAAAGGGUUUCAAAAUUUGUAAUUUUAUUGAUCGAUAUGAGAUGUUUUUUUAUUUAACGCCGUAAAGAUAUUUAAAUCAAUUGAAUUUUUGUUAGAAAAUUCUUUAAACUAUUUAAAACAAGAUCUAUACUCUUGAUCUUGAUUAUAAGACUCCUAUCAUCAUUUUUUAAAGAAUAUUUAUUUUCAGCCGUUCAUUUUUGUGUCCACUCGAUGGAUAAGAGAACAAUAUCGAAAAUAUAUGAAAUUUGAUUUCUAAACACUUCAAGUGGUAUAGAUUAUAUUCAACGGUGCCGAUCGUCGAUUUGGAGGCUCCAUCAUCGAAAACAAAUGGGUGGCAACGGAGCCCGUUUGCUAUCGAUAGUAUUCUANAGAUCAUAUUCAACGGUGCCGCUCGUCGAUUUGGAGGCUCCAUCAUCGAAAACAAAUGGGUGGCAACGGAGCCCAUUUGCUAUCGAUAGUAUUCUAGCUCAACUAUAUAUAUAUAUAUAUAUUCUUACUGAGUGUUGCUACUUGCUAGUUCUACAAUAAUUCUGUUAGGCUUAUAAUCUUUUACAGAUUAGCCCAUAUAGAAACUAUAAUUAACACACUUGUCUUACUAUUCUUUUUUUUACUAAAAUCAAAUUUUUUUUUUCAAAUCUGAUAAAUAAUACGAAACAAUUAUUAUAGAAAAACAUGUUUAUAUAUUUUUUUAUAUUUAUGUCUCUCCCUCACAUCUCCUGCUCUGAUAUCAUAUUAAAUAAUACGAAAUAACCGAUAUACUCUACUCGUAUUAUUUAACAAAAUUCUUAAACCAUUGAAUUAAGGAUCGUAAAGAAUACAAUUUUUUUUUGGAUUGUAAACUUAGCGUUUCCUAUUUCUAUUUGAGAUUUUGUAUUUGGUGUUUUUGGUUUAGUUAAAAAUCUUGUUAAAUUAAGUAACUUUUUAAUUAUUAAAUAAUUUUAUGUACUAAAAAAUAACUAAAGUUAUUAAAUUUGAUAAAAAAAAAUUUUAAUUUUUCGACUAAAAUUUCUUAGUUCUAAAAAAAAAUAAAAAGUUAAAGAGAUUCGCAAUUCGGAAAAAAAAAAAAAGUGUCUAGCCGUAAUUUUAGAACGUUUUAUAUAUGAAGGGGGUCUUUAUAUAUUUCUAUCUAAAUUUAUUUUCGAAAAUAAAUACUUCUUGUUCGUCAAAAGAUAAAAAUUUAUAUAAUUUAUAGUGAAAAAACAUGAUGUUGCGCUAAGGAUACGGUGGAUAUAUAAAUAUAUAUAUUUCUUACUUUAUGGUGUACCGGAACCAAUUACGUUUCUAUCGUUUCUUAGAAAAGGAAAAAGAAAUAAUAUGUAGACUAGUAAAAACGCUGGUGUAACGCCUCUACGCCAUCACCUCGUAAUAAUGACACGUGGCGUCCUGGAUGGAGUCCACGCUCUCGGGGCCCACGUGUCAGUGUUGGUGACAGUGGCAUGUGAUGGUUACAGUGAAGAGCACGUUGGUGGAUUGGAUUGACAUUUUAGGCUCGGUAUUUGUUUUUUUUAAGUUACUGAGAAGUUUCCAAACUGGUGGAGGGUACUCCUCGUCAACAAAUUCAAUUUGUCUCGUAAUGUUUUAUUAUUAUAUUAUAUAAUCUUCUUCUUCUUUCUUCUUUCUUCUUUAUAAGUUUCCACCGGAUUUAUUUUAUUAUUAUCUAGGCCAAUUUGUAUAAACAAUUUAUAAGUUUUGAAUUUUUGUAAAAUCAAUACCUUUUUUUUUAUUUUGCAGAUACUGAUCGAAUUUUUAAAAAACUGAUCAAAAUACUUUUAUUUUUUUCUUUGUCUUUCUUUUUUUCUCUCUCGUUUUUUUUUUCUCUCUUUGAGAGGUGAAGGCGGAGGCGGCCCGCCUAGCCUCUGCUCCCCGCACCCUCGCACGCAUCCGCGCACCACUCACCCUCCUCGCCUUCAACCGCACCAAUGGUGCGCUUGCCGCCGCCCUGGUGGGACGCCCCUUCUCGCCUUCGUCCAAUUCGCCCUCGCCCGCUCCUGUCCUCCUUGCCUCCGCCUUUCGAAGAGGGAAAAAAAAGAGUGAGAGAAAAAAAAAAGAGAGAGAGAGAGAGAAAGGAAGAAGAGUAUUUUAGUCAAUUUUUUAAAAAUCUGAUCCAAAUCUGAAAAAUCAAAAAAGGUGGCACAAUUUUGCAAAAGCUCAAAACUUAU
RNAcentral lists this long non-coding RNA (45754 nucleotides) under Ananas comosus (pineapple). RNAcentral describes it as "long non-coding RNA (ACOM_LNC010833)". The record is from RNAcentral. Lineage: Eukaryota; Viridiplantae; Streptophyta; Magnoliopsida; Poales; Bromeliaceae.